RNAcentral lists this long non-coding RNA (66258 nucleotides) under Fragaria vesca (wild strawberry). RNAcentral describes it as "long non-coding RNA (FVES_LNC000913)". Lineage: Eukaryota; Viridiplantae; Streptophyta; Magnoliopsida; Rosales; Rosaceae. The record is from RNAcentral.
CACAAUUGCCUUUGUGUAUAGCAGCACGCCAGCACAUGAUACAUAAAACCAAGCUCAGUUUCAACUUGUUUUAAGACAUCUUCUGCUGAAUGAUUUCGUAUCAUAUCAUUGUAAUCAAGGAUGAGGUUUGCAUAAAGAGCCUGAAGAUCUUGAAUAAUGCAUAAGUUUCAUGGAGUGGUCUGGCUUCAGAAAUACCAGGGUUCACUUCAGAAGUAGCAAUUCCUUCAGUAAGUGUACUCCAAAAGCCUACGUACGCCCUGGCCUCAAGCUUUUAUGGCGCUAUAUUUUUCCGCAAAAUCAGCAUAACCAUUACCAGGAUUAGGAGGUGGAUGAAAGGAGCCAGCAAGCAACCCAUGUCCUCUCUCCAUAGUCCAUACUAGAUGGUAAGUGCUAGCUGUCUAUAUCAAGCUGUAGCAAUCCAAGCUGGACUACUAAGCCUAGUAAAGUGCCAGAUGAAAUGAAGCCUAAGAAGCCAUGCCCAGGUUGUUUGGAUGUGGGGGGUUUUGUUGAUCAACAUUCCCUUGGAAGUUGGAGAUCAAUACAAGGUUCAAUUGUUCAAAUAUUCAAGUUAACUUAACUAUGUCACAAGGCUGAAUGCUCUUUCUUAUGAAUUUACACCCAAUAUAAGAAGUUACCGAUUCUGAGUUGACCAUUGGUUCUAAUUAGUAAUCAAGAUAGCAAAACUCAGUACUUGUACCAUCUUAUUGAAUGCAGUCUUUAACAUCAUCAAACUGAAAAAGGCCCUAAAUAAGAGUAUUAGAACCAAAUAAUAUGGAAGGAGAAGCCUAAACCCUCGACCCAUAAUGAAUUGAUGAAACAAAUGAACACAAAGCCAUAUAAACUAGAAAGAUCAAUUAAAAUGGUGAUUUUGUGAUUGCAGCAUGCUGAAGAUGCUGCACAGAUAUAAUAGUGUGUCUUUUUUCUUUUCUUUUUUUGGUCCGAGAUAUAAUACGGACUCAUCAACCUGGUCUUUAAGAGAACAAAUCUCCAGCUAUCAUUUCAAAGUUCCACACAGCCAAACAAAACAAAACCAGAAAUAGUGCUUCUUAUUGCUUUUUCAAAACACAAAAAAGAAAAAGUACUUUUAUUUCUACAACUGACCUUGGGUCAAAUGCAGUUUUCAUAAGAAAAUGAGAUUUUUGGGAAUCGGAAUCCCCCAUUCCAACAAAGCUCAACAAGCUCUCUCAGCACCCGCCUCAUGAACCGAAACGGCAGCAACCGUGAAUGCCUUGCCCUCCUGGAUAUGUCUCUACAACUUGAGCUACAAUUAGUAACAGCAUAUUUUACAGAUAAAAAAAGAUACUUCAACUAUCUCAAGCAAAGCGCAAAAAGUCAAAUAAUAGUGUCAGAUCAGAUCAACUCCACAUACUGCUAAUUAACAAUAAUCAUACACGCUCAUUCUUUCAAUAAUAUACAAUCUCAUUCUGCACAUAAUGAAAUACUACAACAAACAAAGAGCUACAUAGAGAUUAGAGAGCGCUGGUAACCUGGCAGUCCUGAAGCCAGCUACAUUGGAUAACUGAUGCAUAUGCAACACAAGAACUGACAUUAUGUUUCAAUGGUAGUCUUACAAACAGGAUUCACGAAACACCCAAGAUUGCUAAAGGAGCCGGGCUACAACAGUUUCAAGUUUCCUAGUGAAAUUGAAAAUAUAUAUUUCAAAUAUUCAUUUGACUUCAGACUGAAUUUUUAAGCCAUGCUAAUAAUACAGGGUCGACUUUAUCCUUCGACAACAAAUCAACAAUCAAUUCCAUAGUUGAUGCAUCUCCAGAGAAACCCCUCUCACUCAUUUCUUCAAUAAGACUUGUAGCCCUCGAUGUCUCGUUGUUAUUGAUAAAACCUCGGAUAAUUGUGUUAUAGGUGCAGCCAUCAGCAGAACAGCCUUUUUGCUCCAUUUCUCUAAACAACUUUUCUGCUUCAACUAAGAUGCCACCAUUACAAAGUCCCUUGAUCAUUAUAUUGUAUGUCCAUACAUCAGGCAGUACUCCUUUCGAUGACAAACCAGAGAAGACGUCUAUUGCAGAUUAAAUUUUCCCAGUUUUGAACAGAGCUUCAAUGAUAAUAUUGUAAGCUACAAUAUCUGGUUUCAACUUGUUCCCUUCCAUCUCUCUAAGCAAUUCAAUUGCCUCAGAAAGUUGUUGGUUGUUACAGAGGCCAUCAAGUAUAAUAUUAUAAGUUCGAAUAUCUGGAAGUUGGCCACAAUCUUGCAUCUCAGAGAACAACUUUUCUGCUUCUUGUAGUCUCCCAGCUUUGCAAAAACCAUCAAUAAGAGUGUUAUAGGUAAUGGUAUUAGGAACAAUUCCCCUACAAGGCAUUUCCUUGAAAAUCUUGUAAGCCUUAUCGAUCCUUUUACCCUCGCAAUAUCCGUUAAUCAUUAUGCUACAGCUAUGAACAUUAAUCAUGGAGCCCUUGGUAACCAUUAGAUCAAAAACUUGUUUUGCCUUGUCCAUUUCACCUCGCAAACAGUGACCAUCCAUUAGGGAACUGUAUGUGAUAGUGUUAGGUUCAAUUCCUUUUUGAAUCAUAAUCUUAACCACACUUUUGGCAUGCCCAACCAUCCCGUCCUUGCAUAGUGCAUCAACCAGGAUACUGAAGGUGAAGACAUCUGGAAAGAUACCUUGACUGGCCAUUUUCAUACAACAACCUCGUAGCUUCUUUCCAGUGGCUUAUAUCGCAAACUCCUUGAAUAAAAGAGUUGUAGGUGACAACGUCUGGAGCGAUACCUCUACCAAUCAUCUCUGAAAAGAGGUUCUUUGCUUGGUCAACUAGUGUAUCUUUGGCUGUCAAUGAUGGUGCUAAAGGUAUAUACGUCAGGCUUGCAUCCAUGUUCUUCCAUCUUCCGAAGUAAUUGAAUAGCCGCAGUGCUGUUUCCAAUCAUGCAAAAGCCCUGUAUUAAUGUGGUGAAAGUAAUCACAUCGGGCUGACAAUAACCUCCCUCCACCAUUUUGCUGAAAACUCUUGCUGCAUCAGCCAUUCUAUUUCGGAGAACAAAUCCGUGGAUUAGAGUAGUGAAGGUUGCAACAGUUGGUUGAAGACCCAGUUUGAAGAAGUGGGCCAAGACAGACAAGGCAUAUUCCAUAUGGUUCAAAUGACAGUAACAAUUGAUGGUAAUAUUAAGAGUAUAAACAUCAGAAGCGAUUCCGACGAGACCCAUUUGUGAAUUCAAAGAGAGGACAGCUUCAAAUUGUUUGAGUUUGACAAGUUGACCCAAGAUCCGAGUGAAACGGACAACAGAAGGCAGAGGACGCGAGUGAAGCAUUUCAUCGAACACCUUCAAGGCAUCCUCCCACUGCCCUGGUUCGAUUCCCUAGAUGGGUUUCUCCCGAAUGAAAGAAAGCCAUGGAACUGUUGAGGGGAGAGCGAAGACAAGAAAGCAUACCUCUUGUGCUGCUGAUGCGUAUCAUCUUCGGAUUCAAGAAUUGAGCUUCGGUAGAGAUCUCCCUUUUCUUAACGCGCUCAGAAGGAAUAAUAUUUGGUACUAAUUAUUGGGUUUUAUUCUUUAUUUCAAUAAACUCAUUUCAAUGAUUUUUAAAAAAAAACGUAUAUACCCUUAAUUAUCACACACAUCUCUCUCGUUUCUUUCUCCCGAUCUAAAACGUUCUCUCUCUCUCUCUCUCUCUCUACUCUCUCUCCUCCUCUCUCUACUUACUUACUCUCUCUCUCUCUCUCUCUCUCUCUCUCUCUCUCUCUCUCUACUCUCUCUCUCUCUCUCUCUCUCUCUCUCUCUCUCUCUCUCUCUCUCUCUCUCUCUCUCUCUCUCUCUCUCUCUCUCUCUCUCUCAUCCCUUUCGAUCCAAUCGUCAGAAAGCUUCUUAUUCUAAUUCAUGAGACCGAUCGAGUUCUACCGGGUAAUAAAGUUCUAUUGGAGUAAAAAAAGUUCUACUGAGGGGUGAAAAGUUUAUUAUUAAAGUAAUAAAUGUAUUACUGGGGGUAAUAAUUUUAUUACUAAUGGUCAUAACACUUUUUUCUUAUGCUUCAUUUAUCUAUGUUAUGGAGGUGGAUAACAAGUUUACUGGGGGUCAGUAAUAUGUUACGGGGGUGGAUAACAAAUUUAUUGGGGGUCAGUAAUAUAUUAUUGGGGUGGAUAACAAGUUUACUAAGAUCAGUAAUAUUCUGGCGACCGGAUUCCGGUAACUGGUGACUGGAGUUCGUGGACCAGUGACCGGAGUCCGGCAAACAAAGUCCUCUCUCUCUUCCAUUUUCUCUCUCUAAAUGUGUAUAAGACACAAGGGUAAAAGUGUCUCAAAAAUAUUAUUUUAUUAUGAAUUUAAUAAAGAUUUAUGUAUUUGGGCACAAAUAAACUAUCUCUCAUUCAAUUAGGGUCAAAUGUCUUAUUGUCAAUGGAAUGAAGUUUGACUUUUAUUUUUUUAUGCAAAUAGGCAUUAACCCUAUCUUCUUUGUCUUGUAUACGCAUUUUUAUUUUAUUUGCAAAUUUACUAUUUGAAUUUUUUAAUUUUAAAAAAUAAUAAUAAUAAUCAAUUUAUAAAAACAAAGGUGAGAAUAACGGGGAUUACAAUGACCACUAGGGUCACAAUAGUGUCAUUACAUUUGACAUUUAACUUACUUAUUCGUGAGUUUAGCAGAGGAUAAAACUAAUCACACACAAAAUACUAGAGAAACAUAAAACCAGAGCCAAGGCGCUCAAUUGCGGUAAUCCAAGUCCUAUGAAAUCAUCUCGCUGCAUCUAGCUCGCACAGUCUGUCAAGUUAUCCAUGCACUAACACUUGUUUUUGCCUUUUGGGUCAGAGCUUGAAUUUAUUUCAUGAUCGGCUCUUAUUAUAGAUAAAAUGUGUUAAUAACAAAAAAGAAUAUGUUAAUAGCAUCACCUUUUUAUUUUCGGUAAGUUAAUAUCAUUUCUGCUCACAGAAAUCACAUUUUUCAUUUCUUUUAUUGAAACUAAAUUUGGUAGGCUAAUUUCACUGCUCGUAUAAUCAUGUUAACUAAAUUUGGUAGGCUAAUUUUCGGCCACGAUGCGGCGUUGGCGAAGGUCUUGUAUUUGCGGUCAUUUGCGAAAAUAAAGGAUGUGUAUUUGUGUGGUGUCGGUCGAGAUUUCGGAAGUGUUGAUGUGUGGCAUCGGUCUCUGUCAUCAGAAGAGGUGCGCAGCAGUUUGGGUGGACGAUGGCGGUGCUGUGAAGAACGGCAGUGGGUAUCCAAUUCUUGUUGUCUCUUGUCAUCAAGGAUUUGGGCGCUUGGGUGUUGGGGGUGUGGAGGUGGAGGGUUGCUGCUGCGCAAUUUCUACCGGUGGGGCUUGUUCGUCAGUGGUCGGGGCUCAUUAGCGACGGCGGAGUGGAGUAUUCAGAGACGAGAUGGUAGUGGAGGACCUGCAGAUGUUGUCUUGGGCUGGAUCUAAGAAUUGGGCCCACUUUGCCCUAUUUCAAAUCUGGGCUUGUCCUAUACCAAGCAUGGUUUGGUCUUGGGGCUUUACCCUAGGUCUAUAAGGUCAAUUUAUUUGUUUAAUGUUGUUCUUUGCUUAUGUUAUUUAGUUUGUUCUUGCUUUUGGCGAGUAAUAAGUCCCUACAGUUGUUGUGUGGGGUUAGUUGGGCUCCUUGCCUGUGUGUGCACUCAAAGUGCCUUGUCUACUCUAGGUAGGCGGCGAGUUCCUUACUUUAUCAAAUGGUCGUUGCCACCUAGCGGUAGGGUGAAGCUGAGUGUCGUCGGAUUUAUCUUCCGACGACAAUAUAGCUGGAAAAUUGUUUUAGAAUUGGAUAUUAAGAUGUGUAAGUGUGUUACAUAUCUACUGAUUUUUCCAGGUUGUCAUCAUCGUUAUAUCAAAGCAAAUAGAGUCAUCAUUAGAGCAGUACUCUUUGUUAGUUAAUUGGUGAUUGUUUGAGUACAUGAGUAUUGUAGAGGUUUCUGAUAUUAUUUCAGGUCUUUGUAAUCAGGGGUUUAGGCUUAAUGUCCCCCCCCCCCUUUGUAUUUAACAGUUUCAUUAAUCAAGGCUUGAGCGCAGCCGCACCAGCCCUUUAUUACAAAAAAAAAAAAAUGAGUGGGUAGUGCAUCUCUUUAUUAUCUUGUAUAUGGGUAUGGAUAGACAAAAAUGUUCAUUAAUAAUAGUAGAAGACAAAUCAAACAGUAUUUGGAGAAAUUUGUCGAUCUUUUCCCUGUCAAGGUUUCUCUCUCAAAUUGUCCAAGCAUCUUUUGAUGGUGGCUAGGGAUGUAGCGGUGUAGGAGGCUACUCAAGCUGCAGCCCAAGAUAUGUCAGGUCAUUAGUUCGAUCGUUGGUGUAAAAAUUCUUAGGUUUUUUUCAGUAUUUUCACAUCUUCUUGUUUCUUUUUUCUUCUAUAUCUUCUUCUUUUACUAACGCUGCGUUUGGAUGAGAGUUUUUAUAAAUCCUAAGAAACUAUGCCUAAGAAACUAUGAAAUGGUGGAGUUUAGAUUUGCAAUGAAAGGUUUCUGUCAAUGAGAACUUGAAACUCGUCUUUAAGGGCCAAAGAUAGAUUUUUUUUUUUAUAUAAUAAAAAUUUACUAGAAAAUUAAAGUACAAACUGGAAACUGCUUCUUUUUUUUCUCUUCAUUUUUUGAAACCAAAAUAAAUUCUCCUUUAAAUGCACUCGUUAAUUUAUAUAGUAUGUUACUAGGUACUAACCCGCACAUUUCUGCGGGCUAGAGUUCAUGAAAUCAUGAGGAUGCAAAGGAAGGGAUUUAAUUUCGUAUGAUAAACAGCAAACAACUUGAUCAAAAGAUAAAGAACAUCCAUUUAAUUCAUAAGCUGCAACAGCUAUAUAAACAUUUAAUUCAUAAGAUGAAACUGUUAUAUAAACAAUACAGUUGCAAAAUAAAAAUCAACUUGUUACGUCCUCCUUCAACGAUCUUCUGGCUCCCCUGUGAGGAAAUGUAGCAAGCAAAGUGCUAGCAACAAGUCAAUCAUUCUUUGAAGUUUGAAAUAUGAAGACUGCUCACAAAGAACUAACAGCAAGCAAGAACAAUUAAAAUGUACAUUAUGAUGUGUGAACUUUUUCAAACAACGAAACUAACCAAGACUAGAUUUAUGCAUUUAGCCAAAGUCAAAGUUAUGCAGGUAAACAUGUUUGUUUACUGCUAUGUUUCCUCAUUUUCACUUUUUCCCUCUACUUCAUCACUAUAAUGUCUCUAACCUCCCAGACAUAUAAACCUUUACAGAUGCAGAUGCAGAUGUAAAUUAAAACUUCAUAGUGAAGAGACAAAUCCAAUUCCAUAAAAUACACACAAGAAGGACUAUCCACAACUUAUAUGAAUAUAAGUUGGUAAUAUUAUUUUUGGUUGUGUUACUUGUAACAUAUCAUAAUCCGGGUAGAUUCAAAACUAGCUUUGUAGCUUCUUCCUCACUUGCUUGAAACAUGUGGCACACACUGGGUAUAGAAGCAUCUGCCACCGACAAUUUUGUUAUUUGCAAUACACCAUUUGGUUCUGAUAUAUGAAGUAGGAUAUAAUUAGUAUUGUGAUAUUCUACAAUGCAAAUACAGUGUUUAUUUGUUGAUUUUUUUUAAUGAUCUUCAAAUGAUAGAAUUUUUCUAGAUAAGUGAAACUCUUCUACAAAAACCUAUUGAUAGCGAGAUUAGAACUUUUAAUGAGGUUUGGUGAUGAGUAGUAAGUAAUUAAGAGUGUAGUGUGUCAAUUAUAUAUAUAUACAAUAUAUAUAACUGAUUAUGGACUAAAUCGAAAUCAACUGAGAUUAAAACAAAGUCACCACCUUCCUUUUAGGGUAAAAUCUGGAAAAAAAAUUAAAAAAACUAUGAACGCAACAUAGUAGCAGUAAAGAUAAUAGGAGACUUUAACAUUACAUGGUGGGUGCUAUGCUGCAAAGUGUUAACAUGAUUAUAGGAUACCUAGUUACUGAUAUUUAACAUUACCAUCUAAAUCUACAGAACACAAAAGUAGAAUUUAUAUAAUUGUAACUAUACAAAUUCCUUCCCAAAGUUUAUAAAGAUGUUUCUGAAACCAUAAGAAAUAAUCGAUCCAUUGUAAGAUAAAGAAACUAAAUUAAGACAGAACACCAAAUUGAAGAACAGCAGCAGAAAGUAGAGUUGAAGAACAUUUUGCAUAAAGUCUGCAUAUGAUUAACAGAGAAGGAUCAAAAUCAAGCUCAUAAAUGUCUGUACAUACUAUGAAAUCAAGUUAACAAAAGUGGGAUGUGAGGAAUUGAAUAGAAAGAGUCUUUGAAAAAUGACUCCAUAAAAUAUGUAAAGUUGGUAAGCUUUUUCAUGAAAAAUGAAAAGACAGAGUUCCCAAAUUUUUCCCACGUAAAUGAAUAUGAAACAAGUUUAAAGCAGAAGAAGCAAUAUAUACCUAUGGACCUGAGCUUGUUCAAAACUUCGAGUAAACUACAAAAACAACAGAACCAAUUUCUUUGUUUUCAAGUAAAAUCUGAAAAAAAUAAAGAAAAAACCAACACAUCAAAUGCAUGCACUGUCAAAUGCAUAGUGACCUAGCAUAUUCAAACAUCUGCUAUAGUAGAUGAAAUGAUAUGGUAAAUCAUUCAGAAUUGAACAUAGUAUUGAAACAAAGCAAUUCAAGAGUAGAAAUUGUCACAUGAUUAGUGUCACAUGAUUAGUAUCCAUGAUCUAUAAGUUGUUGAUCUAUAAAUCAAAUGCGCAUUCUCAUUCUUCAGCAAUAUUCAACACAGAAAGAAAAACCCCAGCAAUGUCAUAGAAACCAAUUGAUUGAUAAAACAAAAAAUAUAGUGAUUGCUCACUUUCAUAAUACAUGCAAAGUAAUUCAAAAGUACUGAAGUAAUGUCUAAUGCAAUUAAAAGUACAUUUUCAGAGUUGAUAUACAAAGAAUACUAUCAUCAGCUUGACUGCAAAACUUGAUCAGAAGGAUCAAAAUGUUUCAUCCUGCAAAAAGGAAGCAUAUUGAUAUUGUGUCUAAAACAGAAAUUAAAAGCAGAUGAAAAUUAAAGCGUGCCAAAAACUCUUCAAACUGACAAUAUUUAAAUUUGACACAAAAUCAUUCAACAAAUCUCAAAUAAUUGAACCUGAAUGCAUACUAAUAUAAACAAUAAUCAUAAAUGUGAACGGAAACAUAUAUAUAGAAUCUAACAUGGGGAUUUUCUUUCUGUAUUAAGAAUAAUAGCAGACAAGGGAUUUGUAACAAAGAAACAAAUGAGGUCACUAACCAUAAUUGACAUCUGCAGAGUGUAAUGGAGUGUACAUGGAUCAUUUAUUUACUUCAUCUCUCUCUGCAACUGUAACUUUCAAAAGAAAUAAACCCAGAUUAAUCUCAAAGCUCCAACAUUCAAAACCAAAUCCAGACACAAUUCAACUUAAAAUUGUAACUUGCGCAAUUGAAAGAGGAUGGAGGAACAAUACCCAUUCUUUUUUCUUCGGAUCAAUGUCGGAACCCGUACCCAUUAUUGUUUCUUCCUUAUGGUCUUCAAUUUUCAUCUUUCAAUUAUGGCUGACGUCAAGAUUCUUUGGCCGUCAGCUGUGGAGAUGGAUGUGUGGUGGGUUGAGGGAGGGCUAGGUUGAGAUGGUAAUGUUAGUGUGUAGAGAGAGAGAGAGAGAGAGAGAGUAGAGAGGAAGAAGGAAGAAGAAAGAAGUAGUAGAGUAGUCGUCUCGUAACGUUACUAACGUACUACUACUCCUCCUCCUCCCUCUCUCUCUCUCUCUCUCUCUCUCUCUCUCUCUCUCUCUAUGAAAAACGCUUGAAGAGAAUGUUUGAGACAGCUGAAGAAGACGCCAGAAGAUGAGAGAGAACACGCGGCAAGAGACCAGCUAAUAUCAAGGCCCAACACUAGGCCCAUCACUGUUCGAAAUGUGUACAGUAGGUCGGCGCUAGGCCCUAUAAUACUUAGUUAAAUUAAAUAAGAUAUAUAAGGCAGUUAAUCAAUAUAAUUAUUAAAAUCUUUCAUUCACAAUGAUCAAUUAAUGUAAAAACUCGAAUUUUAGAGCGUAAUAAUCAUAAAUGUUAAUCUAAAUAGCUUCUAAUUAUUGAAAAAAUACAAGUCAACCAAUGUCAUUAGAGCAACUCCCACCAUAAGCUAAAAAUCUAAAUUUAGCUUAUGGUUUGCUCCCACAAUAAGCUAAAUUACAAGUCCUAAGAAAAAAAAUUUGGCUUGAAGAAUUUGGUAAGCUAAAUUUGGCUUAUGGAGUUGGUAAGCUAAAGCCAAAUCUUUUUUUAUUGAACUUCAUAUUUUUCCUUUCAAUUUAAUAUCAUCUAAAUAAAAAAUGUGUUACUAACAACUAUCACGAAGAUCUCGACGAGAUCUUUCAUAUGAGCCUCAUAUCGAAUAUAUUUCAAUAAAUUUUUUUGUAUGAUUAAUCAUUGAAUAAACAAAUAUAUAACAAAAGAAAAAGAAAAUAGCUUUACCUUAGAAUUUAGCGUAUGGUGAGAGUCUUUUUAAAGCCAAAAUAUUAUUAGUUUAGCUAGGGAUUUAACUUAUGGUAAGAGAUUUUGGUAAGCUAAAAAACGAUUCCAUAGAAUAUUCCUAUUUUUAAAGCUAAAUUUGGUUACAAAUAGCCAUACACUACUGGAUUAUGGCUAUUAGCCGACGGAAACAUUCCGUCCGUUAAGACAUAUAUUUCGUCUGCAAAGAUUUUAGCCGAUGGAAAUUCCGUCGGCUAAGAUCAGUCGGUUAAGCUUCGUCUGCUAAGACAAUAGCCGACGGAAUCAUCAAUUCCGUCUGCCAAGAUUUUAGUCUACGGAACUUAGUCGACGGAAGUAAAAAUUUUAAAUUUUUUUUUUUAGAAUAACUGGUCGUUUUUUUAGGUUCUUUUUUUUUUUUUCCUUCUCUUCCUCUUCUCCGGCAACCACGACGGUUAUGUUUGUGUGUUCCCGAACAACUCCACUCCACCUCCGACGCUAAACUCGCCAAGAUUCUACCUUCAAGGAACCGCACGUACAACGAUCUAUUGCCUUACUUAUGCCGCGGAGAGUAACCGUCCGCACGUCAACCACCCUGCGAGGAGGAGGAGGAGGAGACGCUGCUUGGAAGAGGAGGAGGUGCCGCCGAGUGGAAGAGGAGUAGGAGUUGCCGCCGAGAAGAGGAGGAGGAGGAGGAGGUGCUGCGACGAAGGAGGAGGAGGAGGUGCCGCGGUAGUGGGGGAGCAGCCAGACGAGGGAGAGAGAGAGCAAGCAGACGAGCUAGGGAGAGAGAGAUGAAGAGAAUGAGGGAGAGAGAGCUGAAAGUUAUAGAAUGGAGCCAAAAAAAAUUCAAAAUUUUUGGCGGGCAUAACUGCCGCUUAAAAAUUUUUGAACUUAGUCGACGAAAUAUAUUUUUCCGUCGCCUAAGUUCAAAAUAUUUAAGCGGCAGUUAUCCCGCCAAAUUUUUUUUUUUUAAAAUUUGGUUCCGUCGACUAAGUAGAUAUUUCCGUCGACUAAGAUAUAACCUAAGCGACGGAAUAAUUUUUCGUCACCUAAGUUAUCAUAAAUAAUCAUUUAUAUUUAUAUAUAAAUGUUCCGUCGGCUAGGUAAAAAUUUCCGUCGCCUAAGAUCUUCUUAGCCAACAGAAUAUUUUUCCGUUGGCUAGAUGAAAACUUAGGCUACGGAAUUUUUUCCGUCGGCUAAGUAGAUCUUAGGCGACGAAAAUAUUAUUGUUCCGUCGGCUAAGUGAUUUUUUCCACUAGUGAUAGGGACGAUUGCCCCCUCUGUUCGCAAUGAAGAUCCGCUUAUGUUUCUUGUAAUUUUGUUAUUGCUUGCCGCCAACCCAACGAGCGUUGAGCGGUUGUAAGUAGAUAUUUUGAUGUAUGUGUCUUCUGGGCAUAGAUGAAAGUGUCAAAUAUAUAUUUUUCUCAACAACAAAAAAUAACAAAAAAAGGGAAAAGAGAAAUAUAUUUAGGCAACCAACGUAGGUUAUCAGUUAUUUGCUGAUGGCUGUUUGAUUUUUGGCCAGGCUUCCUCCAAAGCUGCCAGGAACAUUUCUUCUAUGCUUUAGAAUUUUGCCAUAGCCUUGGGUCAACAGAUAAAUUUAGAUAAUUCCUCUAUUUAUUUCUCUUCUAAGACUGAUGCUUCUUUGAAAUUGACUAUCUCUAAUAUCCUAGGAAUUCAAAACAGAAGUUCCUUUGGUAGAUAUUUAGGAAUUCACAAUAUUGUUUUUUGGCUUGUUUUAUGAAUGGUAUUGAUUCCUCAUGUGCUCUUUGUGAUACUGCAAUUGAAGAUAUUAAUCAUUUGUUCAGAUCAUGUUCUUUUUCAGAUUCAGUUUGGACUUCUGCUAGUAACUUGCAUUCCCCCUCUAACUUUUUUAAUAUGGAGGUCUGGCUUGAACAUAUUAUGGAUAAUGAGCCUUACUUUGUGUUUGAAGACUGUGUUCUAGUGUGCUGGUAGAUUUGGAAGUCUCGAAACAACAUCAUCUUCUGAUCUGCUCAGUCCACUCCCAUCUCAGUACGUUGUUUAUGUUGCAGCCUCUAUCGGUGCUUCCUACCGCAGUAUUAAUGGUCCAUAUGCUGCUCCUACUUCAAGAGUUGCUGACAUCAUCUGCUGGAUCCCUCUUGCUCCAAAUUGGGUGAAGCUUAACUUUGACGACUCCGACAGUCCCACCUCUGGUGUUGUUGGCUUUGUUAUUAGAGACUCUUUGGGAGUUCCCUUAGUUGCUGGUGCAUGUCGACUCCAUACUUCUAUUGUAACAAUUUCUAAGUGUUGUGCCAUUAAAAAUGGUUUCGCUAGUGCUAAAAGGUUCAACUUCAAGUCUACUGCUAAAAGGUUCAACUUCAAGUCUAUUGUGAGUGAAAGAGAUUGUCUCUUAACGAUCAACUGCGUUAAUAAUGCAUGUGAAGUCCAUUGGCAUCUCAAAUUUCAUAUUUGAGAUGUCCUCCAUGUUGGAAGUGAGUUUGAUAAUAUCAGUUUUGUUCAUGCUUUUCGAUAAGCUAAUUUCUUAACGGAUCCUUUUACAAAUCUCGGGCACAGUCUCCAUCUCGUUAUAAUUUUCUUUAAAAAAAAAAAACGUGGGUUAUCAGCAACUGUGGGAAAAAAAAAAUAUUGAGUUGGUUCAGCUCAAGUUUGAGAGAUCCCCGGACUCCUCCCGAUUUGGCGUUUCUGGCAUAUGAGUUUAACUCAAAAUUUUAGGAAGGAAAUCGGAGAUGGCCGUGAUGGCCGACCCAACAAGUCAAGAACUAUUGUAUUAACGUUAGACAUGGACACUCUCUGUAUGACUGAGCACAAAUGAGGACCGAGUCCCUCCUUGUACGCAACGCCCAAUUCAUGUUUCAUUUCCAUAUCAAGAUCAUCAACUCUUCUUUUAAAUCUGUGAUUACUCCAAAUAUUCAAAGAGACUCAUCACAGCUAUAGCUUUUCUCUGCUCUGAUUUAUCAGGUACCUCAUUCACACCCUUUUGAUCCCUGCUUUCUUCGUCCUUUUGGAGUAUUUGAAAUGGGUGAUAGAAUCUUCAUGCUGAUCUUUCUUGUAUGUUGCAAAAAGUAAUGGAUGUUGGUUGUUCAUGCAAUCUGAAGUUCUGGGUCACUGUUUUUUCUAUUGUUCUUGGGACAUAUUGCAUUGCCUAUAUAUUUUAGUCUUUGAGGUGGAUGCUUUUAACUAGUACAUGUUAUUGAUCCUUUGGAAUUACCAUUCCGUGCUCAAAUUUCGAGUCUUUAUGUUCUUAAAGAAGUAAGGUAUGGGAUUUAUAUGAUUUUCUGGGUCUAGGCAUGUGAAUGAUAUAACCAAAGUAGAGGUCUAGUGCUCAAAUUUUGAUGCUUUGUCUAUAAGAGUCUUAUUUUGUGCAUUCAGAACCAUUUUGAAUGAAUGAAUUGAGUGAUUUACAUGGACAUAAGGAGUUAGAAGUGAAGAACCUAAGAAUGCCGGCUCAUUGUGCUGAGAUUGUGCACACUUGUGGCUUGAGAUCAUCUGAAUUCAGAAAGUAUAUACUCGAAAAUGAUAUCAGUAACUUCACUGAUAUUAAGGCUGUUUAGCACAUAAGAGUAACUACUUUUCUGAAUCUUGAAGAUUGCUUAUUGAGUUCAAUUGAGAGUCUGAUUUCUAAUCUUCCGCUUUCCUCAUGCCAUGAAUUUCUGAUUGUCGUUGAUAGUUGAAAGAAUGAAAGUUGAAGAAGUUGUGUAUUAUGGUUAAACAGCUCUUGUUGUUCAAAGAAGACAAAGUAGAGAUCAUAGUAGACUCAAUAGUCAUGUUGCUUGCCUUUUUAUGGCAUCCAUCUUGGGCAAAAGUUUGAAGUCUCAAGUUUUGUCGUCUUCAGUUCAUUGAUCGUGGCUGACAUUCACUUGUCACUUGUGUAUACUAAAGUAGAAUUGUCAAUCCCCAAACAGUUAAGAUUUAACAUUCUUUGACUGAUGUUUUCUUUUUGAAUUUCAUGAACCAUAAACUUUGCUGGAACAGAUGGAGCAUGAGAAGGUGCCCUUAUCUAGAACGGAGAACCUGCACGAAAUUGAAAUCCCUAUAGUCUCUGAAAGUAUCGAUGUUCUUCAUGUGCCACAAAAGUUACCCUGCUCUUCCAUCUGCGCUUUCUCCAAGAAAGAAAGCAGUAGUAUGGAUUCAAAACAACGUUCAAAAUCUGCAACUAAACUUGGAGUACUCAUAAUUGUCUAUCUGUUGUUUAUGGUUGUUGAAAUUGUUGGUGGUGUAAAAUCCAACAGCCUGGCAGUACUAACAGAUGCAGCCCACAUGCUUACCGAUGUUAGUGGAUUUGCUAUUGCUCUUUUCGCCAUAAUUGCGUCAGGUUGGGAGGCAACAUCUGACCAGUCUUUUGGGUAUCACCGUCUUGAGGUUUUGAGUGCGCUUCUUUCGGUACAGCUGAUAUGGGUGGUCGCUGUGAUCUUGAUCUAUGAAGCAGUCGACAGAAUGCUUCAUGAGCAUGCAAAGGUAAAUGGGGUUCUCAUGUUUGCAGUUGCAGCAUUUGGAUUUUUGGUUAAUUUUAUCAUGGUAAUGUGGCUCGGCCAUGAUCACACUCAUCAUCAUCAUCAUCAUCAUCAGCACCAUCAUACCUGUGGAGACUUGGAUUAUCAUGAUGAUCAUGGUCAUAAUCAUGAUCAUGAUCAUGGCAAGGAAGAAGCAUGUACAAUAACUGAAGACGAUGAAACUAGCCUGGUGUCAAGUGCUCAAGUAAAGACUAAAAUAUUAAACAUAAAUCUCGAAGGAGCUUACCUGCAUGUUAUGGCUGACAUGAUUCAGUCGAUUGGAGUAAUGAUAGCCGGAGCCAUCAUCUGGGCGAAGCCAGAUUGGUUAGUUGUUGAUCUGAUCUGCACUCUCAUCUUUUCUGUUUUUGCUGUAAGCACAACUAUACCGAUGCUCAGAAAUACAUAUGGCAUAUUGAUGCAGAGAACACCAAGUGAGAUUGAUAUCAACAAGCUAGAGAAAGGUCUCAAGAGCAUCAAAGGAGUUCAGGAUGUUCAUGACCUACAUGUUUGGUCACUGACAGUUGGAAAAAUGGUAUUGUCGUGCCAUGUCACCGCGGAUCCUACGGUAGGCUCAAGUCAGAUAAUUGAUGAAAUUAGGGAUUUUUGUGAAAGAACAUACAGAAUACAUGAUGUUACUGUACAGAUUGAACAGUAGUGUGCAAAUUCAACCUAUCAGUUUCUGUCAUAGUUUUAACUUAUAAGUUUCACAUUUUGGCCCUAUAUAUCUCAGAAAGUUUGUCAAAUUGAAGCAAAUGCGACUCCUCUGCAUCAGCAAGCCUUUUUAACACCAUUCCGAUACAUCAAUUCCCAUAUGGAUGGAAAGUGAUGGAAAGGGGUGUUACAAAUAGGAGUGAAAAUCACCAUCAGCAUUUGCAAAUUUGCAAAUAGAAGAUGAUGAACCACCAGCAUUUGUAAAUAGAAGAUGAACUUUUAUUCAAGUCAAGAAGUAAUGAACAAAACACAAUAUGAAGCUCUGAACAAACAAGGUCUCUUUUGUUCCAUUAAUUCUUUAAUUCGAGAUGCCAAGUUUCCACCCAACAUUCCAAAUUUCAAUAGUUACAAUUUUUCAAACAUAAAUAGCGCAUACGGUAAAGCAGACCCCCAAAAAAGUACCAUAACCACUGUAAAUUUUGAUUCACAAGCUUCCUUAUCACAACUCAAUUAAGUAAAACUGUAUUCUACAUGGUUCUCCCCCUUUCACCCAAAAAGGAAGAAAAAACUAAAAAAUGUUUUAUCCAGCAAAUCCUUCUCCUCCCCUAGGUGUCAGUCAUCUGUUUAUGUAGAGCAGCAACCCCUUUUGUUCGUAUUCCCAGAAGCAUCACCAACAUUGAUAGUAGUUCCUUGACCAGGAAGGGUAGUGCUCGCGACUGCUUCCUGGGCUGCCAGUGCCUUUUUGCUAAUGAUAUGGUGGAUCUCUGUUAAAAUAGUUUGAAAUGCCUUCUCAAUAUUGGUUGCUCCAAGUGCUGAUGUCUCAAGAAAUGAGAGACCUUCCCUCUCAGCCAGUGCCUGACCAUCAUCCUCUGAAACAGCUCUAAGAUGGUUCAAGUCAGACUUGUUUCCAGUCAUCAUGAUGACAAUAUUAGAAUCUGCGUGGUCCCUCAAUUCACGGAGCCACCUUUGAACAUUAUCAAAUGUUGGGCGCUUAGUUAUGUCAUAGACAAGGAGAGCACCCACUGCCCCUCUAUAGUAUGCACUGGUGAUAGCACGAUAUCGCUCCUGCCCUGCUGUAUCCCAGAUCUGUGCCUUGACAGUUUUUCCUUCGACCUGUGAUUUCAAACAAGGAAUGUUAGCUUUGGAGAAAAUUGCAGACAAUUAUUCACAAACACCCAUGUGUCAUCAAUAAUUGUAGACAUAACCAUUGGACCACAAAUGGAGUUAUUUCUGGUCACCAACAUGCAAACGGACAGCAGAAAGUUCAAGAUAAAAGCUGUGUGUUUAAAGUUGUAUUUCAUUAACUUUCCAAACCAGUGGGUCCAGUAGACAGCAGUGUAGCACAUAUGGAUGCUUACCCAGAACCAGAAGAGUCAUAUGCAUAUCAACAUUUUUAUGAACAUAAGAAGUCCAGAUUCAACAUACAACCAAAACAUGAAGUUUAGAUUCUUGCUUUGUUCAAUACUACCAGGGAACCAAACCUACUUGUUUAUUCAACUAUGUCCUAGGCAUAUAUAGAUUGAAAUAUACAUUAAAAUGUGGGAACUCUGAAUGCACUAGCCUUAAGAAAGAAAAUGCCAUAAUUUCAAUUCCCUAAAAUCUCUAUUGGCAAUGUACAGCACUGAAGAGCCUAUAGCAAUAAAGGCAUCAGAGACUCUAAUUUGUUGCCUUCAUGUCAUACCCAUAGUUCAAACCUGCCUGGAAUAUGGCACUCACCUAUACAUGGCGCAUAAAAUCAAUAAGGACCAGCACCAAUUCCAUGAAAGUAUCUAAUAACAUGAUCACAUUCCAAUCAGUUCCCAAAGUCCAUAUGACAAGAAUCAAAAACACACAGCAACAUCGUGUAGGAACAGGGCAAAAGUAUAAUGUAAUUACUCCAAAUUAAAACACUUGGACAUUUGACGCCCUACAUUUUCGUCAAUGUAGUUGUUGACCAACUUUCCUAUUGGAAUCAGGCUGGUAUAGAUCUAAACACAAAAAACACAACUUUUGGCAUCUCAUUGUUGCAUGUAUCCACUAAAAUACAAAUCAUUUCGGUUUAAAUCAGCACCGGAAACUUAAUUCGGCCACCGUUAACCCCAUCUAGAGCUCAAUAACAACCUAUAACUAGCAAUUUCCUUAGCAUCUUCAACGAAUCCAUGAAAACAAAACUAAAAUUCAAACAAUCAUAACUUGAAAUGAACUCGAUAACCGGAACUGAAGAACAAUAAGAAGAGGUAGUUAGUUGCCUGAAGAGUUCUGGUGGCGAACUCGACGCCGAUGGUGGACUUUGACUCCAAGCAGAACUCGUUUCUGGUGAACCGUGAGAGAAUGUUGGAUUUGCCGACUCCAGAGUCGCCGAUCAGCACGAUCUUGAACAAGUAGUCAUACUCGUGGUCAACUCUGCUCGCCAUACCCUCCGAUCUCUCUCUAUCUCUCACCUACAAACAGAUCCCAAACCUCACUACACCAAAAACCAAAACAAACCAGAUCUGACUACAUAGAGAGAGACACCUCGCUUACCGGAGAAAUGCGAUCGCCGGCGUUGAAAUUCGCAGCGGUGAGGGAACCACUGUGAUGACUUUUUUUUUUUUUUUUUGGUAGAAGAGAAACGGAAAGAACGAUGAGGAAGAGAAGAACGGGGGUUUGAAAAGGGUUGAAACGGCGAAUAAAUAGAUUGCUUUUGAGGGGGGAGACGACGUCGUUUUAGGACAACUAGAGGGUCAAAAGGGUGUGACAGUGAGAUAGAUGCUCUCGUCUGACAUGUGCAGCCUGGCGGUUGGUGCCAGAAGGAUGUUUGUGAUUGCCUCCUUUUGGCUAUUAGUGUCUGCCACGCCGUUAAUUUUUUUUUUUUUCGAUUUUCCUUUUUUUAACUUUCUUCUUUUUGUCAUUUUUGGUUUUGGACCGUCGCAACUUUGCUAAAUAGACGGCUAAUAACGCGUGGCAUCCGAUUUCGACGGCCUACAUGAAUUUAGAAAUGAUUAUUUACAUUUUCUUUUUGUUUGGAAAAAUGAUUCUAUGAUCUCGGAUAACCCCACCUCAAUGACAAUCUUGUUUGAGAAAAGACUAUGAUCCUGCUAAUCAUUGGAAUUAUCUUGUUAUUAGGUUGUUUGUCCUACCAAUGAGAUGAAUACUUAGCAUUUUAUGUGAUGAAGUUGGUAGACAUCGACAACUAACAAGCAUUUUCCGAUAUUUACAUGUGUGUGAAUAUAUUUAGACCAAAGUCAAGUAAGAAGAUAAUAGUAACGAGGAUGAUUGUUCAAAAAUAUUAAGAGUGGGGUGUUUAGAGGAUAAGGAGAUAAUGUACUUUGCCCGCUAAGGUAUUAUUUUUUAGAGCAACUUUAACAGACUCUAUAUUUUAGCUUUUAGCUUUUAGCUAUUUUAGAGAGCGUGUUUAGUUUUUUUAGAUGUUUUAGGAGCUACAGCAAACUAGCUAAACUUGAGCUAUUUUAACUUUUAGUUAUCUCGCUAGCUAAAUGCGAGAUGACUCAAAUGAGGCUAGUUAUAAUUUAAUACAUUCCUUGUAAGAUAUUUUACGUGAUAUAUAAAUAUAUUUAAAUUAUUUAAUUUCUAGUUGAAGAAUAAUGUUGAUGUAAUGCUAGCUAAAAUAGAGAGCAUUGAUGCAGCCACAUUUCUAAAAUGGCUAGUCAAAAUGACAUUUUUGCUAAUUUGACUAAAAUUUAACUUUAAAAUGGCUAGUAUUGUUAAAGAUGCUCUUAGUCUAUGAAGUUCUAGUUAGUCAUAAGUCAUAAUUUUCAUAAUCUUCUAUGAAGUUCUAGCUACUCGUAAUCUUCGGAACCCAAACACAGCCCGACUCUGAUCCAGACUUAAUCUUUGGAUAUGAGAUUUGGAUUUAGUCAUUCAUUGCAGUAGCUAUACCGAUGAACUAUGUAAGUUUUUGGGAUCAAGCUUGAGAUCUAAGAGUUACUUGUGGAUGAUUACUUAAGCAUAAUGAUUACGUGACCUUGGCAUGGAAAUAAUGUUAAGGCAUUUAGCAAGGUAGUGUAUAGCUUAGGCUUUUCUUUUGCUGGAUUAGUGCUUGAUUUAGUGGCCUCAUAGUUGUAGUGUAUACAAAGUAAUGAAAAUGGAGCCAUCAAUAAUGAUUUGAAUCAUGUUACAAUCUAAUGAACUUAUUGGGUUUCGUAUAUACUUUCAUUAGUGGAUCUCUUUGUAAUCAUAUAGUACUAACAAACUCAAGUGAGUCAAAGUGUAAUAAUGAACCGUAUUAUUUGGCAACAGCAUGAACCGUAUCAAUCUUUUAUUCUAGGAAAAAAAAAAUCUGAAAAUGCUAAGAAGCAAAAGAAUAUCAAACAUAGGAAAAGUUGUCUAGUACCGUUUGAUUUAGUGACAUAAGUCUCUUCUUAGUCUAUUCUUAUAACUUUAAGUCUCUUCUUAAAGUUGGUACUGUAGUUGUUCUAACUGUUGGUUAUUAUUUAAUUACCCACAUCUUCAGAGAUGCCAACUUCUUAGCUGAUGUUUUAGCUUCGUGUGGGCACAGUCUUCCACUCCCAAGUUAUGGUUGAAUAUGCUCCCAAACACGUGUUAUUAUGCUUUUCAUUUAGAUUAUCUAAACUUUGGUUGCCUUAAAAGCUCGUCAUUGUAAUUUAUUUCGCAUCUAAAAAUAAAUAAGUUAAUGUCACAUAUUAUCAAUGGCUACUCGAGGACCCAAAGCAGUGUGGAUGUCGGGUUUUUGGGCGGCGGUGAUAUGGGUGUGGACGGAUUUUGGUUUCCUUAGUUGGAAUCUAAGGGUGCCGGAGAAGGCUGCAGUGAUGAUGAAUGGACGUAUGUCGGUUUGGGUACCGGCUGUGCAUGCUGAGGAUUAGGAUUGGGCCUGGACCUGGUCUCAAGCUUAGAGAGUGGACCUGGGCUAAUGGUCUUGUUAGGCUUGGGCUGGCAGAGGCUUCCUGGGGUUUGGAGAUGGUUGUUGGAUGGGGUUCCAAUAACUAGGAAAGUCUUCAGAUGUAGCGAUUGGGGAGAUCACUUUGACAGAAUGGCAGUAAAGGAGUGAAGUAACGUGCUCGGCAUUACAUGGUUUUAGAACCUAAGUUAAUUUAGGUUGUGGAGGCCUGGGGAGGUACACCAUAAGGGUCUUUGGGCCCUAGGCUCCUAUGUUAACUAACCAGAAAGUGUGUACUAUCGUUAACAAUCGAGUCUUUGUUUUAUAUUGACCUAGUGUUUCUGCAAGAUCCAGUAUACCUCGUAGAAGCCCUUGGCGUGAUCUCUUCCUUCGUUUGUCGUUGACUAGCUACCUGCAAGAGGAGACUGACCGGGACUUUCCGGUUUUUCUCUCUCCGAUGAUUAAGUUAGUUAUAUGGUUGGUAGAACAUUUAAUGCUAGGAGAUUUCUUACCGUUUUGGUUGACUUCAGCAUUGUAUUUAUAGCCACGCGUGGACUUCUUUCUCGCCUGUUAUACGAUGUGGGACAAAUAUGCUAUUGAGGUUUGCAUGUUUGGCCCUUUGUUGCUUGUUCCCUGCCCCGCCCAAACUACCGUGACUUCCAGGAUGACGCUUGCUCGGUCUGCCCCCCGCUGGGCUUUUGGUAACAUCGUGGGCCGAGGUAUUUACUUGAUACCGACUACACCUAGUUUUAUUUUUGUUGAGUUUUUUGGAUUUCUUGUUAAGUUUGUUUCCCUUUUCUAGGUUGUAACAUUGAGUCUUUAAGCAGUAAAGGGGGGUAGAAUAUAGGAGAGACAAACAUGUCCUUACUACAGAAGUAAGUCAUAAGCGACUAUACACUUACGGAUAUUUUUAGAAUACAAUGUGAAAUAUGUGAAAGACUAAUGUUGUAGUUGAUUAUAAAGACACAUCUUACACUCGAGAUUAAUCAGACUAUUAUCUCAAAAGUCGAUUACUAUGGACUGAGUCUAUGAGGAGAAGACUAAUGACUAUUCAAGUUUAGGUUUCGUUAGGGCAACUCCAACAAUGACCUUAUAAACCAAGACUGGUCUUAAAAUUAAUAAACUCAUCUCCAACAACACAAAAGAGGGGGAGCUAGUCUUAUAACUAUAGGACCAAGUCUUAUUCCGAGUCCUAUAUACAGGCAUAUUCCAAGACCAAGACCUAUGGGUCCCACUAGUGGCGUAGCUAGAAAUCGUAAUUAAAAGGGUCAUAAUCCAAACAAAAAUGGUAACGGUUAUACUAAAUAAAAGUUUUUAAUCCUUAAUUUAGAAUGAAAUAAUCUGUAAAAGUUUUUAAACUAUGCAAAGAAUGCAUACUUUAGUUGAAUUGAUGUAUUAAGUCCUAUAUCUUACUCUCAUGCAUUCAAGUCUAGCUUGAACUUGUUGGUUGUAUAGGAGAGAACAUUUUUUCAGUUACUUUAUAUAGGAGAGAACAUUGAGAAGGAAAGAUUUCAAUGAGAAGGAAAAGACAAUAAAAAACUAUAUAUAGAACUAUGGAAGGUUUCAGUCAUGAAUAAAAUAUAAUAAAUACAUAAAAGAAUUGUGGACUCAUGCUCCCAAAUUUAUGGCUAAACGGGGUCUUUCUCUCUCUCAAACAUGUCAGAGGGUUCAAAUCAUGUAUUAAACUGUAAUAUAUCUAUAAUUUGUGAACCAUCGAGGGCUUGUUUCAGAAAUUAAGAAGGGUCAGUUGACUCUUCUCGCCCUCCCCUGGCUACGCCCCUAGGUCCCACAUCAAUUCAGCUGAAUGACACACACACAUCAAUUUAAUUAAGAAUAGUCAAAAUAGCACCCCGUAUAACACUUCAUUGUUGGAGAUGAGAAACAAGUGGUGGUAUAUUAAGUAUAACACUCCAAAAUAAGACUCAUGGUUGAAGUUGCUCUAAGUUGGAUGACAUAAUUGCCAAUUUGUUACCCUAAUUUUCACCAUGGUGUCAAUUUGCUACCCUAAUUUUCAUUUCAACCAAUUUGCUACCUUAACUUUUCAUAAUUAGCCAAUUUGGUAUCUUAACUAUUAAAUCUGCCAAUUUGCUACCAUUCCAUCAAAUUUGCUACUUUAGGCUUUCAAUAUUAACCAAUUUGCUUAUCAAAAUUUCAAUAUCGACCAACUUUAACCUUCAAUUUUCAGAAUUAAUUCAUGUUUGGAUAAAGAAAUGAACAAAUUAAAACAACAAAAAGGUAGCAAGUUAGCUAAUUUUGAAAACAUAAAGUAACAAAUUGGCAGAAAUAAUAGUUAGGGUAGCAAAUUGGCUAAUUAUGAAAAGUUAGGAUAUCAAAUUGGCUGAAAUGAAAGAUAGGGUAGCAAAUUGACACUAAGGUAAAAGGUAGGAGUGCGGCUAUUGGGACCUCCAGAUUUGCUCAGUGUACCUCCACAUGUUUUGACUUAUUGGAUUACAAAUAUAACCUCAUACAAAAUGACAAUAAUAAACAUUGAAUUUCACAAAAAAAAAAUUGUAAUCAGAUUAGUAUUCUUUCCUUUUUUUUUUUUNNNNNNNNNNNNNNNNNNNNNUUCUUUUUUUUUUUUUUUGUUUCAAGUUAACGAUACAAAAUGUGAGGAGUCUAUAAACCCUAAACCUAAGUGCAACCGUUGCUCAAUCGCAAAGAACUACUGCACCAAAUGGAAGAAUCUCCAUUGAUGAAUACGCAAUUGGCCUUCUUAGGGUUUUCUUCUAGGUCAAAGGUUUCUGGGUUUUUAGCUUGCUUUAAUAUUUCAUCAGAUUUGCUUCAUGUAUACCUAUUUUCUUACUUUUGUAGUUACUAACUUACUAUACGUUCGGUCAUAAACACCACUUUGCUGCUUUGCAAUUGAUUGUGAAAACAAUUCAUGAUUUAAAUUUUUUUAAAUUGUUGUCAUUGAAAAAUCGUUCUUAUAACUUGAUCAAAUAAUAUAGAUUAAUGACAUUCUAUGCAAAAUAAAUAAAUAAAUAAAUAAAAAACAACAACAACAACAAGGAAUUGAGGUUGCAAAAGAGGUUUUCAUGAAAAAAGAGAAGAAGAAAAAAGAAUUCAAGCAAUCGAGGUCUGAAAUAGAUGUUUUCAUGCAAAAAGAAAAAAAAAUUAUAGUGUGGGAGGUCUAGAGAGCGAAUAAGAGGUAUAAUGAGUAAAUUAUUGAAAUAUAUAUGAAUAACAAAUCUAAGGUUAUUUUAGGAAUUUGAAAGGAGGUCUAAUGAGCAAAUGCUUGUUUUUAAAAUAAAAGGAGGUGUAAAGAGACAGGGAGGUACAAUGAGCAAAUAUGAAGGUCCCAAUAACUGCACUAAAAAGUAGGGUAACAAUUUAGCUAAAAAACCAAAUUGGAUNNNNNNNNNNNNNNNNNNNNNNNNNNNNNNNNNNNNNNNNNNNNNNNNNNNNNNNNNNNNNNNNNNNNNNNNNNNNNNNNNNNNNNNNNNNNNNNNNNNNNNNNNNNNNNNNNNNNNNNNNNNNNNNNNNNNNNNNNNNNNNNNNNNNNNNNNNNNNNNNNNNNNNNNNNNNNNNNNNNNNNNNNNNNNNNNNNNUCAAUAGCUACUGUACUUCUACAGUUCUACUAGUUUGUGAAUUUUGAAAACUUGUAUUGGUGAUUUGGAGUUGGGAUAUAACAAUAAUCAUUUGAUUAUAAAUUGAAUGAUGAUAACAAAAAAUUUCUAGUAAAAAAUUGGACGAAAUAAUAUGUAAAAAGAGGUACCAAAUGGUAAAUAUACAUUAAUUAUAUUAAAUAAUAGAAUAUUUCAUAAAUUAAGGGCAUUUUAGGCAGUUUGAGAUGUGUAUUAAGUAUAAUACUGAAAUGAAAAACUUGAUAGGUGAUGUAUUAAGUAAAGGGUAUGUAUUAAAAUAUUAAGAGUGUGUAUUUAAAAAUUUCUCUUACACUUUUACUCGGUUCUUAUAUUUUCUCUGUAUAUGAAUUCCUGAUGUUGUUGAAAAAUAUUAGUUGUAGCAUAUAGUUGUUUUUUUAUAUAAAAAUAAAUAAAAAUAAUAAUCUGCCGGAGUGAAAGCACGCGCUCAAAACCAGUGUGAGGGGGUAGUAGAAUAUAGGAGAGACAAACACGUCCUUACGCUGAAGCAAAAUCGAGUCACUGAGUUUCGAUUUCCCUUCUCUCCCUAAAUCGAAACUCAAUCUCGCCUCCUCAAAGAUGAAGAAGGAAGACACCGUGAAGCUGAUCAGCGCCGAGGGCUUCGAAUUCGUCGUCCACAAAGACGCCGCCAUGGUCUCCCAGACCAUCCGCAACAUGCUCACUUCUCCAGGUCUCUCUCUUUCUUUCUUUCUUUCUUUCUCUAAUUAGUUGCGAUUAGAGGAUUUAGGGUUUGAAAUUUUGAAAAUUUGGGCAGGGGGUUUUGCCGAAACCGAACUCGGCGAGGUCACGUUCCCGGAGAUCAGCACCACCAUUCUUGAGAAGAUCUGCAAGUAUUUCUAUUGGAAUCUUCAAUUCGCCAGGUUUCGAUUCUCUGUUUCUACUUUUGCUUUCGAAUUUUACAGCUUCGAUGAUAAUUCCUAAUUGCUGAUAUAGGUCACUGUACUGGCUGUUGUUUCUGAAUUGAACAUUAUAUUUGAUCGAUGUUGAAAUUUAUAGGCUUUUAAGUUUUAAAAAAUUGAAAUUUAUAGGCUUUAAAUUUUAAGAAAGCUUCACCUUAGUAGCUCACCAGGCUUAGCAUAUCUUAAGUUAUAUCACCAUUAUAAUUAAAAUUGAGUGUCAAAGUAAUGAAUGAUUGUUAGGCCACCAAACCAUUUGUGAACUUCUAAAGUUUAUUUCUUUGGAAAAAAAAGAAGAAAAAAAGGUCCGACCUUUAAAAAUGAGAGAAAAUUAGGUAAUCUAGGUACUGUGAUAAUGUUACAAAGAACAUUUCCUUAAGUUGGUGGUUUAUUUACUUUUUGCGGUUUUCUUUUCUUUUGUCAUGAUGUGGCUAUGGUCUCCUAUAGAAAAGAAUAAUGUGUUCCAGACAUGAUUACUUAUGGAGUAAUGAACUCAUCAAAUUUGCAUCUAACAACUGAAGCAACAUAAAAGCUGGCAACAGAGAAGUAAGAGUGAGGUGGUAUAAGAAUUAUAUUGGUUUGGUAAACCAUAUACUUUGUAUGAUAAAUGGAGUUGAAUGCCGGUUUAUUAUCUGGAUAUUGGUUGAAUCUUGAGUUGAAUAUGGUCGCUAGUUAGAACUUAAUAUUUGAUAGUUUGAUGGGAAAUGCUACUUUACUUUUUGCUCUCUCUUUUUACAUGAUUUGUAUUGUUGACUGUGUGCAGUGGUAAGCAAACUGAGUUUCACAUUGAACCAGAACUGACCCUGGAGCUGAUGAUGGCAGCCAAUUAUCUUCAUACAUGAGUAUAUCAUUUCUCCCCAGCCUUGUGGUUGAACCCUAUAUGUAAUGUAAGAUAACUCUUUGGUACCAGUUUCGUAGUCUUAAUCUCUAUUGAUUAUGUUCUAAGUUAACUUCUUAGUUUUUUUCCCCUGUCUUUGUUUAUGACUACUUGUAGUGAUUUCCCACGAGGAUGGAUGAGGAUAUGGCUGUACUCUGCUUGAAGACCUUAGGAAUUUCUAAAUGGUGUCGAGCACCAGAAUUUUCAACUAGACUGCAAUGUAGUAUAUGUAUGAUGAGGUUCUCUCACUUGGAUUUGGAACAGUAUGAGAUCCAUUGUAGUAAAACUCAGUCAGUUACAACUUAUUAGACAAUGUGAGAUUCCUCCGUUAAUGUUAAUGCUUAGUCUUAGACAGACGAACAUAAUUUACAGUAAAAUCUUUUAUAUCAGAGCUGUUGCUAGUCAACUGUGCUUGUUGGCUCAGAGAUAAGUGAAGUUACCCUCUAGCUCUUGAUAUUCUUGGAGGUAUAACAUCACAAACCCUUUUAUGGAGUAGGUUUGUUGCUUUGGAUGUGAUGUCUGAAAUUCAGUUUAAUUUCUUUUCCUUUCCCUUUUUUGGUUUAAAAAUUAAGGACACAGUUGGCUGCAGUCUGCAGAGGUGUUCAAAGUUUGAAAGUAAUAUGUUCUGUAUUGGUCAGUUUUCCUCCGAUGGUGUUCGGAUGACAAAAAGUAAACAACUCAGGAAUUGGUAUAAAGCUGUCUUGCUGUUCUGGAUCUGCCAGGCAAGAACAUGUCUGCAUUCUCUACAUGGUAAUGCUUUCUAGACGUGAUCCGCCACCCCAGAGCCUUUUCGGGGGUCUCCCAAAAUGCUCUAGUAUCUGAGUGCCAAAUCUCAAAACGGAUGUUUAUACUCUAAAGUUGCCAAUCUUUAGAUGGAAUUGGGCAUAAAAACUGGCUUGCAGUUUGAAGUUAGAGCAGUCUCUGAUCCUGCUCGCUCAUGAAGGGAAGGGGUUCAUGUUAACUAAAGUACCCCAAAUAAAAAAACAACAAUAAGCUAUUCCCCUAAAAAUAUGGCAUUCAUCAGCUUCCUCUCAAACAACUAUAAACUAUGGCGCCCUUCACACUGAAGGCCACGAACUCAUCAUGUUCUCACGCAUCUUUCGAAUUUCAUGUUUUCAUUUACUGAAUGACACUGCGCACUUCUGGGAACUAGUCUGUUCUGGAAACUAGUUCCCAAUCACAAAAGAUCAAAUCAUUUCAUGCCAGGGCUUAAUCAGUAGGAAGGUCUACACUGUAAAUAAUCACUCCAACAUGGGCUGCAGUCACCACUGUCACAUUGUGUUCCUCCAUUCAAAUAAGGGUUACUUUUCGUCUUCCUUUCUUCUGGGUUUUUUUUUUUUUUUUUUUGUCUCCCUCGGUGAUUGAUUACAACCUAGAAAGAGAUUAGAAAAACAUGGAUUCUUCAUUCUUUGUACUUGGUAAAAAUAAAAUUUGGAGUUGAUCUUGUGAUUGAAACAUCUAGAGUUCAUCUUUACGUUUAUGGCAUUGACAUUAGAGUAGAUUGUGUUUGAGAACCUCUAUGGUGAUGGUAGGCUAGAUCUGCUAUAUGCAUACAUGGUAAUGGGUUUAGGAUAGUAAUGACUGGUUCAUUGUUCUUACUGUUUACCUUUUGCAUUCCUGUCCAGAUCAGCCACAUCCAGCCUUGUGUUUCAACUUUAAACCAUUCGGGGCCUGAAUUAAUGCUAAAUAAAUCUGGUUGUAUAUAUGCAAGCCUCAAAAGGUACACAGAGAAGUUCAAAGAUUGUUCUAAUGUAUCCGAAUGUUUAUGUCUGAAUUUUUUUUGGCUGUUACUGCAUAUGCUUUGUAUUCUAGAUUUCUAGUGAAGCCCGAAAUCCAGGCUUUUGCGACUAAUUUACACUCAUUGUUUUACUGUCUACGCAUAUCUGUAAUUCCAUUAUGGACCUUUCUGGUGAAUUUGGAUAUGGAAGCAUACAUAUCAAUCCUGUAAAAGCUAUAAAUCCAGGGCUUGUGUAUGACACUAUUAAAGCAGAUUAUAUAAAGGUUGCUGUGCAUGAGCUAUAAUGAAAUGAGGAGAUAACACCACAUGCCCUACAGGGUUCUGACAAAGGAUCACCAAGGAAUCAUUAUUAACUUUCAGGGGGAGCUAAAGUUAAACCCAUGGAAUCUAGUAGUAGACUAGAGUUAAACAUGUUGGCCUUGCAAAAUCCACUUACAAGGCCAAAAUCUUCUCCACAUCGUAAUUUGAUAUCAGGGUGGUACCUAAGUACCUUAUGCUCUUUCCUUCAAGUCCUUGAAUGAGGAGAAGACUUUUAAUGCAACUGUUGUGGGGAGCAGUUUGCCAGAUAGAUCACAACUCUUUGCAUCAUUGGUUUGAUCUGAUGGUACUUGCAGUGUUCGAAGUCCAGUUGUUGUAUAUGCAAAAAAGGAUUAGUACCUUAGAGCCUCUGUAAUGAUUGCAAUGUCAAAUGAGUUUGAAUGAAUAAGAAUUAGUGAAUUCAAGAUAUCAAUAACUCUCUUGGACCCUAUAGUUAUUUACCGUGAGUCUUUGUCUGCUUGUGUCAAGUACUCAAGUGCAGACUAAUUUAUGAUGUAAACUGUGGAGUGCUCACAAUUUUCUCACCACCUUUACAGAAUUGCAGAGUGAAGGUAUCAAUUUUUUCCCCACCUCUGUCUCUCUUUAAUUCUCUCCCAUUUCUUACUUUAGAUCAAGAAGAUAAGUUUUGCAUACUUACAUGAAUUCCUGUUUUUCUACUAGGGAAUCAAGGGUGGUUUUCUUUCCAGGUUAGCCAAGAAUCCAAACUCUGUAAUAUCAAAUUCUUGUUGAUUAUUUAAACAGUCUUCUUUAGCACCCAGAAAAGAGCACUUUAAAUUUAAUUUUGAGUGAGUUACUUUAAAUUUCAAAAGAAUCAUUAAUUGUGCUUCAGCUAUAUUUGAAAUAAACGGAAAAUUUAAGUCUCAUUGUCUUUCUGGGAUCUGACUGAUACUGUGCUGGAGUGCAUGAAUAUGACUUCCUUUUCGUGACAAAUAGUGCUUUCUUAUAUGGUAUAUAAAUGAAAUGUAUUUGAAUAUUUUCUUCAAUACAUGGAAACCUUAACUUUGCAAAAAUGGUUUUGUUCCACAUCCUGCUGGCUGGCUGAGUUAGUAGAAUUUUGGUGGAAUGAAUUGAUGUUCUUUUGUCAUUAAUGCAUAUUGUGUCCAGGUGAGCUAAAUCCAGCUAUAGUGUCAUCAGUGUUGAAAUAUACAGAAGGUACAUAACGUACUAAGAAUUCAUAGUUGUCGGACGAGUCAUUUCUGUAAAGUAGCUGUACUUUCGAAAACACAUUUGAAAGGUUUCAGUUUAAAUACUCCUUCCCUGAAAUGUUUGAGAAUUUGAGUCAUUUGACAAUGGCUAAGCAUGGAGUUCUUCUGUCUUAUCACUCCUUCUCAGUUCUCAUCAUCACUCUGAGUUUGUUAUGCAGAGCUACUUGUGACGAUAAAAAGGUAAGGAAAUGCAAAUAAUUGUGUUCUCUUAUACUAGGCUAUUCAAUCUGUCUAGUGAGACGAGUUCUGAAUAGAUAUAUCAUGAUGAUGCAGGUCUAUAUUGUGUAUUUGGGAUCACUGCUUUCUGUUGAAUUGUACUCGCUGUCAUCUCACCAUCUUAGUAUUCUACAGAAAGUUGUUGAGGACAGGUUGUCUAUCUAGGUUUUGAGCAUCAUUGUUUCUGUCUUAUUUAUAAGUCAGUUCUUAUGUCUCAUUCAUUUCUUUCUCAGUUCUCCUGAAAAUGUUUUGGUAAGAAGUUACAAAAGGAGUUUCAAUGGAUUUUCUGCGAGACUCACUGACCAGGAAAGAGAAAAACUUUCUAGUGAGUGACCUGAGACACUUUAUUUUUAUACUAUUUUAAUGAGGUUAUACUGUUUUGGUUUGAGAAGUCAUCAUGUUCAUGUUUAAACUGUGACUGCAGACAUGAAGGAAGUAGUCUCUGUCUUUCCAAGCAGAACAUUGCAACUUCAAACAACAAGAUCUUGGGACUUCAUGGGAUUCAGUGAGAGAAUUGGUCGAAAUUCCACGGUUGAGAGUGAUAUUAUUGUGGGUGUCAUUGACAGUGGAAUUUGGCCUGAAUCUGAUAGUUUUAAGGACGAAGGUUUUGGUCCUCCUCCCAAGAAGUGGANNNNNNNNNNNNNNNNNNNNNNNNNNNNNNNNNNNNNNNNNNNNNNNNNNNNNNNNNNNNNNNNNNNNNNNNNNNNNNNNNNNNNNNNNNNNNNNNNNNNNNNNNNNNNNNNNNNNNNNNNNNNNNNNNNNNNNNNNNNNNNNNNNNNNNNNNNNNNNNNNNNNNNNNNNNNNNNNNNNNNNNNNNNNNNNNNNNNNNNNNNNNNNNNNNNNNNNNNNNNNNNNNNNNNNNNNNNNNNNNNNNAUUGGUGCGGACGUCCGCAGCUGAGAAAAUCCGUAUAUAUAUAUAUAUACACAGUUCCUAUCCAGAGUGAAGCUUCACUUUUAAAUUAAAGUGUGAAGUUCCUUAUUUGACCCACUUUUCGGUCAUAUUUCCAUAUGUAUAUAUAUAGAUAUCUAUCUACAGUACUCUAGUGAUUGUCAUUUUUCAUACAAAUGCUGUCUAGUUUUGUAAACUGUUGAUAACUCGCAUAGCUAAAUUGCUGACAUAUAAUAAAAGAAAGAAAUAGAACACACAAAUUUUACAUCAGUUCGCAAAACUGUAAUUAAGGGAUUGGGAGAUUGGAAAUGUGUAUCAUCAUAUCAAUCCUUGCAUAUGAUAGACAUUCUAAUGGUAAUAAAAAAACAUUGGUUCUAUUCUAACUUUGUAACACAGGCAACCUAUAUAUAUCAGGUAGCUUUACAUACUAUCUAUAGUGUUUUUUCUUACAAUACCUGAUCAAGUUUUAUAAAAUCUUUUAUUUUUGUUUUUUAUUUUGCAGCAAGCUUAUUGGAGCUCGGUAUUACUCAUCAACGGAGUCUGCAAGGGAUGACACGGGUCAUGGAACCCACACUUGCCUCAACGGCAGCAGGAAAUGCUACAAGAGAUGUAAGCUUUUAUGGACUAGCACAAGGUACUGCAAGAGGAGGAGUUCCCUCUGCAAGAAUUGCUGCAUACAAAGUCUGUACUGCAGGCACAUUGUGUAGCGCACAUGAUACCUUGGCUGCUUUUGAUGAUGCAAUUGCUGAUGGAGUUGAUAUUAUUACAGCUUCAGUUGCAUUUAGUAUGAUCCAAGAAUUUGAUGUGGAUCCUCUUGCAAUUGGUACUUUUCAUGCGAUGGAGAAAGGGAUACUAACCUCACAUGCUGCAGGCAACAAUGGACCUUCCGGUGCUACUGUAUCAAGUGUAGCACCUUGGGUGCUUACAGUUGCAGCCAGUAGCAUGGACCAGCGGAUCAUUGACAAGGUUGUCCUUGGAAACGAAACCACAGUAAUUGUAAGUUUCAACUUCCUUUAUCCUCAAAAUAAUCUUUUAUCUAUAUUUUCUAUUCUGAUUUCUGUCAUGUACUUUCUAACAGGGGAAUUCUGUGAACUCUUUCACAUUAAAUGGUACAAGUUUUCCUUUGAUACAUGGAAAAGAUGCUUCAAGGAAUUGCACAGGAACAGAAGCAAGGUAAUUAUUGUGCACAUUUCAUUUUAACUGUGAAAUAAAGGAAAUAAUAUGAUGCUAGCUAGAGGACCAAUUUGUUGAUUUGCAGAGAUUGUGAACAAGGUUACCUGGACAGUGAUCUAGUGAAGGGAAGGGUUCUCCUAUGCGAUAGAUACAGACUUCUUGAAGCAUUUCAAUCUGGUGCACUGGGUUCCAUUUUGCCCAAGUUUCGAGUUGUUGAUGAUGCCUCUUAUGUUCUCCCAUUAGCUGGCAUGACUAUAAACAACGAAAACUAUAAUGUAGUGAUGUCCUACAUGAACUCCACCAGGUUGAGAUAAUUUUUGAUACUAAGGUGAUUUUCUCAUGAAGUUUAUAAUUACUUUGUUUAAAUACAAAGGUCUCCUAUUUUAUAGAGAUCCUCGUGUGAACAUAUUAAAAAGUGAAGUCAUCAAAAAUCCUGCUGCACCUGCUGUUGCUUCAUUCUCCGCACGUGGACCAAAUCUAAUUUUACCUGAUAUUAUUAAGGUACUGUGUAUGUUUCAAGGUUCACAUACAGUUAUGUAGGCUUUAAUUAAUAAGCUUUAAUUUUUUUUCCUAAACAGUUUUCUCCUAUUGUGUUUCAGCCAGAUACAAGGCCAUCUCCAGUAAUAGAGGCUAUAGAGCUAAAUCCUAAAUUUUGGCCUUAUUUUGAUCUCCAACAAGAACUUAGAAGAGGGUCAAAGGGCCAUAAAAGGGCCAAAGGGCCAUCAAAAGGGCCAAACAUAGCCUUUUGGCUAGCCUGGGCCAAACCAAAUUGUGGUCCCAAAUGAAAUUAAAAAAACUAAAAGUAUGCAUAUUAGUUGAUUGAUGAAUACUCAAAUUAUAACAAUUGUCAACUUUCUAUUGGAUUAUUUCAUUCUCAUCUCAUUACAACUGGUAAAUUCUCUCAACCCAAAAUUCAUACGGCUAAUAUCUUAUUUUAUUAAUAUAAUAGUUAAUUUAAAUAUUAGUAAUUUGGUCCAAAUUCAAAUAAUGUUAUAAUAAAAUAAAUCUAUAAGUCAGAAAUUAUAUGGUAUCUACCCGUAUGUGAUACAAUGUGACAAUAUAUUUGUAUUUAAAGUGAAAAAUAUUAAAAAGUAUAAUGUGAAAUCAUAAAAUAUUCAAAAGAGCUAAAAUUUGGCCCUCUCUUAUUAGAGAUCAUUUAGAAGUCUAUAAAUAAAAAAUAAUAUUUUUGAGGACUAAAUUAUAGCCCUGGCCCCAAUAUAGCCCUCUCCUGCUGGAGAUGGCCUAAGUGCCCCGGGGAUUGAAAUUUUUGCUGCAUUUUCUUCUGCUUCUAUCUCAACCACACCUGGAGAUAUGAGGCGUGUUAACUACAAUAUACAAUCUGGAACCUCUAUGUCUUGCCCCCAUGCUGCUGGUGUAGCUGCCUAUGUUAAAACCUUUCACCCUGAUUGGUCUCCUGCGGCCAUCAAAUCAUCUAUUAUGACCACUGGUAUUCUCUUCAUUUUAUUUGGUACAUGAAUGCAUUGCUGUAUGUUUCUGGAUUAAGCAGCUGUUGCGCGCUUAUACAUAUUUUCAUAAUGAAUCUACCAAAACUUUUUCUGCUUGUAGCUUGACCCGUGAAUGAUCCCAGCAGCAAUGUCUCCACUGGUGAAUUCGCUUAUGGAUCAGGCCAUAUCAAUCCUUUGAAAGCUAUUGACCCCGGGCUUGUGUAUGAUGCUUCCAAAGAAGAUUACAUAAAGUUUCUGUGCAUCAGCUAUGAUGAAAGCAGAGUUAGACUUGUAUCAGGAGGUAACAGCACAUGCCCUACAGGUCCUGACAAGGGCUCUCUGAAGGAUCAUAAUUACCCUUCGAUGGGAGCUAAAGUUACCGCAAUGCAACCAUUACAGUUGCAUUUAAUAGAAGAGUUAAAAAAGUUGGCAUUGCAAACUCCACUUAUGUAGCCAAAAUCUCCCCCAGUUCCAAACUUGAAAUUAAAGUGGUGCCGGAAGUUCUAUCCUUCAAGUCCUUAAAUGAGGAGAAGACUUUUAAUGUCACUGUUUCUGGAAGCAAUUUGCUAUUUGAAUCACGAGCAUCUGCUUCACUCGUUUGGUUUGACGGUACUCAUUGUCAGGACCCACCCCAAAUUUCACCCUGAAACCCGAAGUAAAUCCUGCGGGGACCACCUCAAAGGAAAGUUUACCGAAAAAUCGGUAUAACCUCCCUUGAAAAUGAACAACUCUUCCUAAUAAAAAUACAUGCAUACAUUUCAAAAGAAUCCAUCUAUAACCCUCUCCUCCUGGAGCCUUCGUGCUCCCCACAUCACAACAUCUCCCAAUUUAUUUACUAACUUUAUAGAAAAACUCAAACCAACCAUCACAAGUUCAGAGCAACUCUAUUAGAGGAGAAAUGAACUAAAAAUAUAUAAAUGAGCGGAAGCUAUACUAUUGACUAUACCUCGUCUCCAUGUACGUCCGACCUCAACUAUGCAAUCCUGCAAACUAGGCAUUUUUAAAAUGAAGGGUCCAGGGGAAAAUAUUUGAAACCGUUAGAGUGAGUGGACAAAAUGAAUUUAAUGAAAAUAUUUAUGCUUUCCCAAUUUAAAUUUCCAUAAAAAUUAUGCUGCAUGCGACAGCUCAAAAGCUCAACUCAUAAACUGGCAAUUUCAUGACUAGCUCCGGCUAGUCACCAAAUUUAAUAAAAUGAAACCUCUCAGGCUAAAGUAAUAUGUAUAAAUAUGUAUGUAUUUACACUCGUCAUAUUCCUUGUAUGAAUUUUCUUGAAAACAACAAAUAGAGAUAGAAAUUCACACAAGGCUACAACGCUUGCGUCUAACGCUCACGUCGCGCCAUAAUGGAAUUUUACCUCAUUAUGGCGGAAAAGACAGUGUUUAUAUACGCGCAUAUCCCCUAUAAAAAUUCUUAUAUUUAUAUAGGGCUACGACGAUUGCGUCUAACGCUCACGUCGCGCCAUAAUGAAAUUUUACCUCAUUAUGACCGAAAAGCACGUAUAGCUAGCUAGUAUUUAUUUAUAUACAUACUAUCCUCAUAAUAUCUACAUACAUGUCCACCGAAAAUCUCAUUUUCGGUAACUUCCAAAAUAAUGAAAAUUGUCAAUUAUAAAAGAAGCAAUAAAUAUAUGACUCCACCGAAAAUCUUAUUUUCGGUAACUUUCCAAAUAGCGAAGUUAACAAAUAAAAUAAGAGCAUUUAUUUCAAAAAAAUAACUUCGCAAAAAUAAACAAUUCCACAAAUUGAUAUUCAUCAAUAAAACAUUUGCAUGCACAUCAUUUAAAACAAAAGUCCACUCACAACUUUAGGCAUAAGCCCGACGAAAUCCAAUUUGCCACUCAAGUGAGGUCUUCUCAAAUCCUAGCACAAAAACAAUGCUUAGGACCAAACUCAAAUUUCAAAAUAAAUAAUACUUAAAUAUAUAACCUAAAACUCUUCCGCCUAAUCCACUACCCUUUCUAGGGUUAAGCUUAUCGGAUUAACGCCAAAAUCCAACCACAGCCUUAUUUCCUUUAUUUCAACAUUCUAAAACAAUAAUAAGGAAAAUCCAACGGUCGGAUUCUACCCCAUUAACCGCCAUAUUCACCAAACUUUGAAAAAAUCCCAAAACUAUCCAAAACUCCUUCAAAAAUUCCACACUUCACAUCAAUAAACUCCCCUUAAUAUUACACAUUUAAAACCCUGAAAAGCCCCCUUACAGUAGCGGCGGCCGGCGGCCGACUCCGGUGACUCCCAAUGGCUACUAAAUUUUAACAGCAUCAUCCUCUCAACAUCCCAAACAACUUUCAUAACUAUCACUAAGUCCAAUUUCAAGCCUAAAUAGGGUAAUCGAAGCCAAACAUAACAAGAAAACCCUAGGAAAUUCAAACACCCGAUUCUCCUUACCUAGCUCGAGUUAGGAUGUAUCUUUUUAGGGGUUUGCUGCUGGAAGGGAGAGCUUCAAGACGAUACCGGCAGCUUCGAUUUUGAUGGCUGGAAAAAGGAGUUCCGGCGAGAACACCUCCGCGGCACAGCCGCACCUUCCUAGCGAUUGUGCUCCCUCACGGCGGCGCGACACCGGCUGCCACCUACCUAGACUUGUAGAGAAUGCUCCCAGCUUCAAAUUGAUACCAAGCACGCCUCCUAUCUCGGUCGGACGACGGCGGACGGCGGCCGGAAAGUCCGGCAGCGGGAGAGGGAGAGAGUCGGGAGGGAGAAGAGAAGAAAGAGAGAGAAAUGGUUUGGGCUUCUACUCUCAACCGGUCCAAUACCACCAAAUAAACCCAACUCCACAAAUAAGACACCCCAAAAAUAAUACCCUAAUAAAAAUUACCUUUUACUAGCUAAAAUUUACCAUUUUUACCGUCGUCACCAUUUCCUCCUACGAAUAAUUCCUCAAAAAUAAUCGUCCCUCAAAACCCUUCUAGGGACCAAAUAAACUAUAAUCUCAUUGAUGAAGACGGUAAAAUUCUUAUUAAUACCAAGCUAGUAAAUAAGGUAAAAAUUUAAGAGUCGGGAUCUGACACUCAUAGUGUUAGAAGUCCAAUUGUUGUGUACACUGUGCCUAGAGCAUGAGUGAUGAGAUAUGCAUUGAGAUGAGUUGUGGAAAUUUGUUUGAGCUUUCAGAUAUAAUGAACAGCUCCAUGAUAAUAAUAAAGAUAAAGUGCAGCUUAUCUGUACCUGGGGAAAGGUAAAUUUCUGUGUUGAAAACUUCAUAUUACUCUUCUGGUGGAAAGAUUUAGUUAGAUAUUUAUUAUAGAUAUUUAUUGUAGCUGCCAAAUAUCAACUUUGAUUCCAUAGAAAACAUAACUGUGUUGCUUUGUAUCUCUUUGCAUUCUUGAGUAGGAAAAGUCUAAGAUGUUGCCUUUCAACAUCUUUGCAUUUUUAUAAUUCUUUCAACCACUUUUGCCUUUUCAGUCAAUAAAGAAAAGAUCUAUUUCUAUUUUUUAGAAGUCUAUUUUGCAUUAGUUUAGACUAAAACUCAUUCCGUCAAUCACUCGUUGUAUGAACCAGGCUUAUGCAAGAUCAGAAGUUAGAUAUCAGGGACAUAGUACUGCCAACUGAUCUCAUAUAUCAUUAUUACAUAUAUGGAAGGCUCAUCAUAUCAUAUGGAUCUGAAGUAUAGUUAUGAGUCAAAUAUAUAGCUUUAUUUAAUUCCAUAAAUGAAAAUUAGAAAGAAAGGGAUACAUAAUCUGAUACUUGCAGAGGUUAGAUUUUGCCAAAGUCCCAGUAUAAAGUUGUCUGUGGCUGUUUUAUUGUUCUGAGCAUUCAAUAAUGGCCAAGCAUGGAGAUUUUCUGCUUUCUUAUACUUUCCCCAUUCUCAUACUCAGUUUGAGCUUACUGUGCAAAGCCAAUGAUGAAGAUAGGAAGGUAGGAGUUCAUCUUAGUUGGUUGCAGACUUAUAACAUGAGUUUUUUCAUCCAAUCCUAAACAUCUUGAAGAAAUCGCCGUUUAAUGUUGUAGGUUCACAUUGUGUACUUGGGGUCACUUCCUAAUACAGUGUACUCACCAUCGUCUCACCACCUUGAUAUGUUACAGAAAGUUGUCCAGGGAAGGUACAUAGGUUCUACAUCUGAUGAUCUGAAUAUUUAAGAUUAAUCAUUUGUCCUUCCGGGUAAAAGGAUUUCUUUGGUGUCAUACUUUUUCUGUUGUUCUCUGCAGUGGUUCUCUUAAAAAUUACUUGAUCAGAAGCUACAAAAGGAGUUUCAAUGGAUUUGCUGCCAAGCUGACUGACCAGGAAAGAGAAAAACUUGCUUGUGAGUGCUCCUAGACAUUCAUAUGAUUAUAAAUAGAGCAAUAUGGUUUGGUACAUACAAAUAUAAGUGUAUAAACUGUACAUUAAUGCAGAUAUGAAGGAAGUAGUCUCCAUCUUUCAGAGCACAAAAUUUAAACUCCAAACAACAAGAUCUUGGGAUUUUAUGGGAUUCAAUGAGAAAAUCAACCGAAAUGUCACUACAGAGAGUGAUGUAAUCAUUGGUGUGAUUGACAGUGGAAUUUGGCCUGAAUCAGAGAGCUUUCAAGACAAAGGCUUUGGUCCGGUUCCUAAAAAGUGGAAAGGUGCUUGCAACGGAGGCAAGAAUUUCACUUGCAACAAGUAUGUAAAUGACUUUGAUCACUACAUAUUGCUUGGGUAGCUAAGCACUAGAAAAGGAGAUUGAUCAAUUAUAUGGACUGUAAAUGUUGCAGCAAACUGAUUGGAGCUCGGUAUUACUCAUCAAUACAGUCUGCAAGAGAUGAAGUUGGUCAUGGAAGCCACACUGCUUCAGUAGCAGCAGGGAAUUCUGUGAAGGAUGUAAGCUUUUACGGAUUAGCACAAGGUACUGCAAGAGGAGGAGUUCCUUCUGCAAGAAUUGCAGCAUAUCAAGUAUGUGAUUUGGAUUCGUUCUGUAGUGGACAUGAUGUGUUGACUGCUUUCGAUGAUGCCAUCGCUGAUGGAGUUGACAUUAUUACAAUUUCCAUCGGAACAGAUCUUCCAUCUGAUUUUUAUAAGGAUCCUAUUGCAAUUGGUUCUUUUCAUGCAAUGGCAAAAGGGAUACUGACCUCCAACUCUGCUGGCAAUGAAGGCCCUGCAGGAGAUACCGUGUCAAGUGCAGCACCAUGGACACUUACCGUUGCAGCAAGUAGAAUUGAUCGUCGCAUCAUUGACAAGGUUGUUCUUGGAAAUGGAAGCAUAAUAGUAGUACGUGUCUCUGACUUCCUCUACCCUUAAUAAAAACUUCACAGCAUACUUAUUCUAGAUUUUUUGUCGAAAUAGCUAAUUGUCUUUGCAUACACACAGGGGACUUCAGUUAACACUUUCACGUUAAAUGGAACAAAUUUUCCUCUGAUAUAUGGACAAGAUGCUUCACGUCAUGAAUGCUCGGAUUCCCAAGCUGGGUGAUGGUUCCACCCUAAGUCAUAUGUAAACAAUGUUGUAAAGGAAAUAAUAAUAAGUUAAAGUAUUGAUUUCUUGCACCUCAGGUAUUGUGAUGAAGACUGCCUUGACAGUGAUGCAGUUAAGGGAAAGAUUGUGCUAUGUGAUGCAUUCGAUGAAUCAGAUGUUGUAGCUCUUAAAGCUGGUGCACUAGGCUCUAUUUUAAAUAAUGAUGGAACUGGUGAUUUUUCUAAUGUUCUCUCAUUACCUGCAAUAGCUUUAAGCCAUGAAAACUAUAUUGCAGUGAAGUUUUACAUGAACUCCACUAGGUAUGGUAUCAUUUGGAUAUUUGAUCAUAAUCUGGUUGUCUCAUGGUGUUUUCCUGAAAUGAUUUACUCUAGACUUUUGUUCAUAGAGAUCCUCGAGCAAACAUAUUAAGAAGUGAAGUCAUAAAUGACGCUGCUGCACCAAUUGUCGCUUCCUUCUCUUCACGUGGACCGAAUCCAAUUACACCUGACAUCAUAAAGGUAGAUGCUUAUCGUUCAUAGAUAUGCAUGAUAACAGCCAUUUUUCUUAUACUUCAUGCUUUAAUGUGUUUCAGCCGGAUCUAUCUGCGCCUGGUGUAGACAUCUUGGCUGCAUAUUCGCCUGUGGCCUCAAUCUCAGUGAGCCCCGAAGACAAGAGGCAUGUAAAGUACCAUAUAUUAUCUGGAACCUCCAUGUCUUGCCCUCAUGCUGCUGCUGUUGCUGCAUAUGUUAAAUCAUUCCAUCCCGAUUGGUCUCCAUCCGCUAUAAAAUCAUCUCUUAUGACUACUGGUAUUGUGUUAAAAAUUCUUCUCCUCCUAUCAUGCCCCAAUCUCUUCCUCAAUAUCUGCCUAAUUGAUUUCAUUCACAAUUACUAUGUAUCUUUGCAUUCAAUACAUAUCAUAGGUAUUAUAGUCGUAAUUGUCAUAUAGUACUAGCUACUUUUUGUAAUAGUUUCUCGAGUGAAUUACACUAGAUCAUUCUGAAAGUUAACCGCAUAUAGUCACAUGUCCAAAUCUUUCUCAUGCCUGCAGCUUGGCCAAUGAAUAAUACCAACAAUGCGCCUGCUGAGUUUGCUUAUGGAUCCGGACAUAUCAAUCCUGUAAAAGCUGUAGAUCCCGGGCUUGUUUAUGAAACAUCUAAAGAAGAUUUCAUUAAACUACUUUGCAUGGAGUAUGAUGAAGCCAAAGUGAGACUGAUAUCAGGAGAUAACAGCUCUUGCCCUACAGGUUCUGAUAAAGGAUCACCAAAGGAUCUUAACUACCCUUCAAUGGCUGCAGCGAAUAUUACACCGAAGAAACCUUUUACAAUAAACUUCCACAGAACAGUUAAAAAUGUUGGCCUUGCAAACUCUACUUACAGCGCCAGCAUCGUCCAAAAUUCCAAAGAGGUUGAUAUCAAAGUCACGCCUGAUAUUCUUUCCUUCAAGUCCUUGAACGAGGAGAAGAGCUUUGAUGUGACUGUUGUUGGAAAAGGUUUGAUAGGCGGAUCACUAAUUAUUUCUUCGUCAUUGAUUUGGUCUGAUAAUAAUCAUAGCGUGAGAAGUCCAAUUGUAGUGCGUAGUGAAAUAGCUUAAUACUAGUUCAUUGCUACAUCCCUGCUGAUGCAUCUGAACUUUUUCUUAUAAACUCAUGCUAAUCAUAAUGAAAUCUUUCUUUUGGUCACUGGUAUAUACAGGAAGAAAGCAUACAUCUAUAACCUGUUGGUUCUAGUUCCAUAAAUAAUGACAUACUAUUGUCAUGAGAUCAUGUAAAUUUUUAAUAAUCUUCAAAUUAGCAAUAUGUUUAGAAAAUUUAAAAGGAUGUAAUUAUUCUUCAAUUUAUUAAUGACACUGAUAUUUAAACUAAAAAGUAAAAUCCAAAUUUCCAAACAAUGAGAGGUGAAAAGUCAGUUUUAUUUGUUUUCCUUAAUCAGCACUGGGUUGUGUUCCUUAAUCAGGAAUUUGUAAAUUUUUGGAACCUUUCAGGUAAAGAUGAUAUUCAUGCUCCAUUUUCUAUUGGUUGAAGAUUUAAAAUAUCAUACGCUUGUACAAAAGCCUACCGUCUUUGCAUUUUCACUACACAUUUGCCUAUUUCUUCUAACAAUUCAUCUUUCUUCUAUUUUGAAAUGUUUUUAGUGGUACUUCCAAUAUCUUAAUUGUUACAAAAACUAAAAAUCUCCAAAUAACUUACGGUAUUACAGCGUUCCAGUUACAUGAAUACAUAAAUGAAAUUUAAAACAAAUUCACCUAGUUAGCUCCGAAAAGACUUAGAAUCGAAAAGGUAAGAAGUUGUAUCUAUACAUACCAAGUUUUCUUACAAAUUUUCUGAAUUAUCCCCAUUUCUCAGGCGAGCCACAGCCACUUCUGUGUGACGCCGGAUACGGUCUCUUCUGCAUGAGGGCAUAUUCAUUCAUGAGUCACCAAUGGCCUUAAUCUCAUUGCACGCUCAAAACGAAUACAUUAUGACAUACACUGCAUAUACAUGAUUUGCAUCUCCACUAAAAUGGCUGACGUCCUCCACUACUUAUUCCCUUUCUUUCUUUUUCCUGUUUUAACAUAAAAAGAAAAUUAUUCCUCACUUAAGCCUCGUUAGUUUCGUGGAAAGUAAACAACAGAAAAGAAAAUUGUUUAUUUUCUGUGUUUAGGGAAGCAGAAAGAAGGGAAAUACUUUCUUGAUUAAAGGGAAAAUGUGAUGAAAAGUUGGAAGUGACAAACGGGCAAUCCCAUGACGACCCACGUCUUAACGGGCUCGGGCUUAGACCAGCCCAUUUACUCAAACGUAAGGCCCAACUCGGCCCACGACCCAAGCCCAUAACAUGUCGGGUUGGGCCUAUGAGCGGGCUGUGUUGGGCCCCUUUUUUGCCGAAAAUUGAAAUUAGUCAAGAGUUGAUAUCAUAUUACACCAAAACAAUAACAAAUGAAAACUAAUUCCACUUUCUAUUGAUCAUUUUUUUCUUCACCAACAAACUACAUAAAUAAGUGAUAUAUGAAUCAUAUGAUCAUUGUUUACAAUUAAUAAUGUUUUAGCAAAAACUUCUUACGGGUAUAGGGAAAUCAAAAUAAAUAAUUAUUAGUAUAUAUAUAAGUUUAUUGUUCACACUUAAAACUAAUUUUAUUAUUUAUAACUAUGUUUUCUUCAUAUUAUAAAAAUAUAUAUAUAUAUAUAUUAUAGAGCGGGCCGGGCCAUAUGCCUCAAUUUGUCGUGCUCGGGCCAGGCCAGGCCGGGCCUAUGAGCUUAUUUUUCUAGGCCCAGCCCGACCCAUUAGAUCUAUGUCUAUAGCAUACCUCAUCUCCAAUAAUAAGCCAUGUCAUGGCUGUGAGGUUUUUUUAAUGUCAGUCACCCAUAGGUGAUAUAUCCAAUAUUAUUGGAUUCGAGAUUAGUAAAUUCCGGGCANNNNNNNNNNNNNNNNNNNNCAUAUGCCUCAAUUUGUCGUGCUCAGGCCAGGCCAGGCCGGGCCUAUGAGCUUAUUUUUCUAGGCCCAGCCCGACCCAUUAGGAUAACGUGCUUGGACCGUGCCGGACAGUUUUUAAACAUGUUGUGCUCAUACUUAGCAGCCCGUUUGCCACCUCUAGGAAAAGUAAUUAAUUUCAAAAUCCAGAUGAACCACUUUCCUUCCUCAUUUCUCUGCCUUUAUUACUCACAAUAUAAUAUUUUAUUAUUCUAAUUACCAAUUUUUCAACAACUUUUCCGAUGACUUUUUUUGUGUUACCAAACAUCUGAAUUGAAAGUUCUUAUAUAAUUUCUUUCCCAUUUAUUUUCUCUUUUCAUGGGAAAUAACAAUCAAUUACUUUCUUUCCGACAAACCAAACGAGGUCUAAGGGAACUUGUACUGGGUUAGUUUUGGUCUUUUGGAUAACAUGUUUGGUGAGAUCUUUUACCGUCAUUUAUGUAUCCUUCUUUUGGUCAUGAUUUUUCUUCCUGUCCCCGGUUAUGGUUAUAGGUUUCAUAAUCUUGGUUUUUGCAGGCUCCACUUUUAGCUACUCGCUUGUCUUUGUAAAGAGAAUGGUCUUGGCCUAGUGCCUCCAUUCUCCCCAUCUGUAUUCUUAUUUUACACAUUUCUUAAUGAAAUUGUUAGGAAGAGGAGGCCACCAAUUUGAGUUAUUUGACCGUGCCGUAAUUUGAAGGUAAAAGAGUAAAAAUACACUCCGCCAGUAUGUCUUCGACUGUAAAACCCAAGUCUAAACUCUAAACCCAGUUUCGAGUCUUCCGACCCAAAAGAAGAGAGCCCUUGCUGUCUAUAGUUCCUCAUUUGCCAAACCCCGUCAAAUUCGUACAUCUCAUGGCGGUUCGUGCAUUUUCAAGAUCAAAAUUUUCAACUUUCUCUUCAAUCCUCCUUCAAGGUCUGAAAAGAACACCAAUCCGAGAGAACCCGUUUCCUCCAAAACCCAGUUCUCCAGUAUCACAAAUCCAAUCAUGUCAGCCCAUUUGUGGGUUUAGGCUAUACCAUGACGGAAGACCCAGAGGACCCCUUUGGAGGGGUAAGAAGCUGAUCGGCAAAGAAGCCCUUUAUGUGAUUUCGGGUUUGAAAAGGUUUAAGGAUGACGAGGAGACGCUUGGCAAGUUUAUAAAGAGCCAUGUUUUGAGGCUCCUCAAGUUGGAUAUGAUUGCUGUUCUCACUGAGCUUGAGCGCCAAGAAGAGGUCAAUUUGGCUAUUAAGGUACUAUACAAAUGUAACUAUUCUCUCUUGUAUGCUUAAAUUUUGUGUCUUUUUGCAUUUGCUGUUCUGGGUUGUGUUUAGAGUUUCAGACUUGGGUUUGUAAUAUAUGCUAUGUGAAUAUGAUCAGGCAUUGCUAGUUAUGAUCUUUGUGACAAAUUGUUUAGUGGGUUUCGGCUGGUGAUGUGUUUGACGAAAUGCUGAAUGUUAGUGUGAAUUUUUGGAAUCUUCAAUAUGAUUAGAUAGUGUUUAACAGAUUGAGAAGAACUUUGGCUUAAGUAUUGGGUUUGCUGGGUAUUCCUGCUGGCAAUGCAGGCUUAUUGGUAUAUGAUAAAUUUUGAUUGGAGCGAGUUCUUUCUGCGGCCAAUUUUAUGAUUGGCAAGUAGUUGAUAGGGGGAUUAUUGUUUCAUAUGUAGUUAUAGAAGUUAAGAACUCAAAAUGGCUCUUUAGAUUUAAAUGUUGAAUUUCUCAUGCUCAAACUAGGAAAUGAACAAUGAUUUGGAGAGUACCUUAUUACCAUGUGAAAGAGAGACUGAAGAGUAGUUUGGGUUUAGAUUUUCGUUUGUUGAUUCUUUCAAAGUGCUCAAUGUCAAGCCAAUUGGUUCCAGUGAAUGAUGGUAUUUUCAUUUGAAUUACUUUCUGUCCUUGAUGCAAAACCGCAUUACUAGUAAGCUGUAGCCUAUAGGUUUGCACUUUGGCAACUUGUUUGUGAGACAAUCCGAGAAAUUGGAUUUGAUAUAUUAUUUGGAAUGUAGGAAGCCCUUCUAGUGAGGACCCUUAAGUUGAGGACUUUUCGGUUUAUGGUUUAAAAGACCCAAUUUUCGAUCACAUUUUGACAUCUUAUCCGUUCAGUUUUUAGGUUUAUAUGAGUAGAUCAUUUCUACAAAUUUUCACCCAAAUUGGUGUUCGUUAAGAUAACAAACUAGAUCAAAUUAAUGGAUGAACCAAAUCUGUUAAAUAUGAAUUGUUCAAGUUCAUAAUUGAUAAAUCACACUUAUGAAUGUCUUAACAAUUUUCAAUAUAGCUGAAAAUUUGAAUAAAUGAUCUACUCAUAAAUACCUAUAAACUAAACGGUCAAGAUGUAGAUAUAAGAUCGAAAUGUGGGAUAAGCCGAAAAGUCCUCACCAAGUCCUCAACUUAAGGGUCCUCACUAGAAGGGCUCCCUUGGAAUGUAAUUGCUUCUAGAUUGCUCUAUCUUGGUUUUCUGUUAAUUUGUUAUAAAUUGAUUGAUAUUAGCUUAUAUUACUCAGUUGGCUAACAUGCAAUUCAAUGAUUUCUCAGGUAUUUAACGUGAUUCGAAAGCAGGAUUGGUACAAGCCUGAUGUCUAUCUGUAUAAGGACUUGAUCAUUUCAUUGGCAAAAUCUAAGAAAAUGGAUGAUGUUAUGGUUCUAUGGGAUUGUAUGAAAAAGGAAGAUCUGUUUCCUGAUUCUCAAACAUUUACAGAAGUUAUCAGGGGAUUUUUGAGCACUGGUUCUCCUGCCGAUGCAAUGAACAUAUACGAGGACAUGAAACAGUCUCCAGAUCCACCAGAGCAGCUACCAUUCCGGAUUUUGUUAAAGGGACUUCUGCCACACCCCCUUUUGAGAAACAGAGUCAAGCAAGACUUUGAGGAGCUCUUUCCUGAACAACAUGUAUAUGACCCUCCGCAAGAGAUUUUUGGCUCCUGCUGAGGUUUGCAUCUUUAUAACUAGUUAUAUCUAUCUAGACUUCAGCAUGCACUUCUAUAGGUGUGCAUAUCAUGUUGAUUCCCGUACUUUCAAAAUCCUAAUUGAGUUUAUUUGGUUUUAGGUCUUCAACGUUUUUCUCAUUCAUUGGAAGGGCAUUGUUACACCUCAAGUUCUCAACCAACUAUAGGAUUUAGGGUUGCAUGCCAGGACCACUAGUAAGGUGGGUAUCCCAUGUAGUGACAUGCAGUAUUGCUAUUAUUUUCUAGAGCUUCAAGUUUUGACUUCCUAGAACAUAAACUUGUGGUCUGCUGUAAAAUGUUCUUUUAGGUUUGUGCACCAUCACUUUUUUUUUAUGUAGAUGAGUUGAACAUUAACUGAUAUGAUAGUUUUGAUGGAUGUUGGUUUCUGUAUCCCAUGUAUCUUUGGCACUGGCAAUUCCAAGCUCAGGAGGGAUUUCCGGCGGGAAAGCAUUCUGUUCCAUUUAUAUGGGGACACCAAAAUUUAGCUAAUACUGGAAACUGUAGACCUUGGGGUUUAAAUGCUCAAAUGACCGAAUAUGUGCAUGCCAUUUAGUUUAAAGUUGAGUUACCCAGCAAUCUCUUGAGUGGUAAACGCCAAAAGGAAGAGAACAGUGCUGAACACAUCCAAACCACCUAUAGUGGCAACAUCAAGCUUCAAAUCAGUGAAUCAUCAAACCAACUCAAACCAAUAAUUGUACCAACUUUGUCGUAAGCAUUCCACUUAAUCCAACAAACACUCACGUCAAAUCAAACUCAUAUAUCCAAACAAAACCAAAUGUUUCACACAAUGUCGCUAGCAUUUCAUGAACAUAUUGACGUGUCAAUGGUUUUGGAAUAUCUUUUUCCUAUGUAGUAGUACCAUAUAGGCUUGGUGGGAAUGGUGGGUUUACUUGUGAAUAGCACCUUGAUAUUAACAGGAUGAGAAUGUUGGACCAAGCACCACUUGGAGCAUAUCCGACAUUGCAAACCUUAUCUAAUUAUCCUCUUUGGUGGGAUCACAAGCAUUUGAGUAUCAAGAUUCAUUCCUCCUGAAAAGCCCUAAACUCAUAUCCAAAGCAAAAUCAGUCCCAAAUGUCCAUUGGCAAGGCAUGAGAGCUAGGGAUAGGGAAAAGCCACAUCUAUAAGAUAUCAAUACAGAAAAUAUGCAAUGAUCCGAAAAUGGUCCUUGGCUAAAGCAAUGAAGAUGCAUUUCGAUUUCGAGCACAAUAUCAGCAAAAACACAUAGACAAAAAAUUCGAAACACUAUAAAUUAUCAGUCAAGAUAACGUGGUAUCGGAUCAUUUAAGAUUGAUUUUGUAGAGCUUGGAGGACAUGUGGAGCCCACGUGACACUUAUCCACUAUGCUUUGUGGAAAAGGUUACCAAUAUAAUUGGAUUUGAAUUUACCAACCAGCAAAGGUUGGUGGUCUCCAUGACCAUCCAAUCAAAACUCUCUCCCUCUCUCUUUCUCUCCCUCUCUCUGCUCUCUCUUCUCUCUCUCUUGAUUGGAUGGUCAUGAUUGAGUGGUCAUGGAGACCAUCCAAUUAAAACUCUUUCUCUCUCUUUCUCUCCCUCUCUCUUCAAAAACUCAAGGCGAAUAGAAAUCGAGGAAAACAAAAACCUGGCCUGCACAAAAACAGCAAAAGGAGUUUUUAUUGGUGAUGAAGGCACAUGGGCGGCACUGUUGAGUGCCGUCUUUUGUAGAAGAACAGUGCCGCCUUUUGUAGAAGAAGAAGAAGAGGAAGUUAGCAUUAUAUAUUCGAUUUCAGAGACACUGAUUUUCACGUGCUCUGUUUUCUAGCUUUCUUCUUCUGCAAAAUCGCAUCUGCCAUCUUCUUGGGAGCUCUGUUUUGUUUGGAUUAGCUUAUCUGUUUGACUCAGAGAAAGAAAUGGAGAGUGUGAAGAAGCAAGGGAGUUCGUCUUCCUCAUUCACUGCUGAACUCUUUGGGUUCAAGGACUCACCACCCAAGUCUUCAACUGGGAUUUUUGCUUCGAUUUUCCCACCACCAUCGCAGGUAUGUGUAUUCUUGUUCUGCUGAAACUGCAGUCAAUUAGUAGUCUUGUUCUGCUGAGGUACUAGCUUCUGUUAAGAAGUUGCUUUUGGUUCAAAGUUGCUAGCUUUAGUUCAUCUUAUCUAAUGAAAGCACAAAUCUUUGGAAAAGCUGAAGUUUGGUUUCUGUUGGGAUUGGGGGAACUUAUGCUUGAUGUUGCGAAUUUUUAAUGUAAACCCAUUUGUGGAAAAGCGAAAUUUCUUUCAGAAACACUGCAAAGGGGGGAAAAGAUAAACAAGUAAAUUCAAGAUUUUUGAUGAACUAGAUUCUCUGUCUUCUCUUUUUUAAUUCGCAAGUGACUAGGUUUGCAUGUUUUGCUUGGAAUUGUAGUGAAGUGUUCUAAAUUGUUGACUUUAAGAAACACUGCAUCGCUCUUUGUUGAAUUUAUGGUUCUCACUAUCUGAUUUUAGGUGGUGGGGAGAAACUCUUCAAGCUCUGAGCUGACUGAAUACUGGCGUAAACAGUCCUUGGGAAAUCAAGCAUGGAACACCAAGCAAGGUAAUCAAGGUUUGUUCUUUAUAUCAGAUUCAUGUAGUUCUGUUACAAGUUUCUAUGAAUGAUUUAUAAUCCAUCCUAGUGUUGAAAUCCAACCUUAUCUUGAACUUUUGUUUAUUAAUGAACACCUUUGGUUCUUCAUAUAAUCCAGAUGAUGAAUACUCAAUUUAGCUUCGUUGCUCAUAUUUUACUUCUUUUUUAUUUAGUAACUUCCUGUUUUUGUUCCUAAUUGAGAAAAAGGCUUGGUUGUUUAAUCAGCAGUCUUUCUAAAUUGUGAGGGCUGAGGGAUUAAAGUUCUUAGAAUUAUACCAUUAUAUGCCCCAUGAUCAUCUGAUUCUUUUGUAAUUCUCUAGAAACUCGUAAUCUUGGAUAUUAAACUGUGUUGAAAGCUUAUUUCCUCAACCUUUGUAUUGCUCUUAAACCAUAUAGCUAUAAGUAGCGAAGAUGCACGCUAUAGCUUACCCAACAAGGAACGCAGUUCAGUUCUUCAGCAUGAAAGAGCAGAACCAUGUCACCUAAGUUCAUCUCUUUACUAUGGUGGGCAAGAGGUCUAUUCUCAGUCCCCAAGUACCCCUCAUGCCUCUGGAUCCUACCCUCUAGUGAGUCUUGAUGAGUGAUCAUCAAUAUAUAUACAGUACUGUGAUUUAAUAGUGUGUCAGCAUGGUUAACGAACAAUUGGAUGUAUAAAACUAAUUGUGCUUGUUACUCUAUGAUUGAUUUAGUUCAAGAAAGAUGCUGGAGAAGAUGAUCCAAAUGGAAGCAAUGCGAACAGUGCCGCCCGAGGAAACUGGUGGGAAGGUAUUCAUAUAACAGAUGAAACUUGUACUCUGGUACAAUCUACAGCUACAUGUUGUAGAGUAGAUCAAGUGAUGAACUUUUCUGGUAUGUGUUUGCAGGUUCACUCUAUUAUUAGGACCUUGCCUUCCCUGGCCAUGAACUCUUCAUCUAUUAUCAAGGUAUAUAUUCUUUCAGAUUCAUUUCCUCCAAUGUGACUUCCUUAAAAUCUUGACAUGUCAUGUAAUUCCAAUGUGUUUUUUUCUUCGUGUCCCUUAGUUUCCUUCUUUUUAAGGUUCUCAGUUUUUUUUGAAUUAAAUUAACCCGGUAAAUACUUGUACUACAUGUAAGAUAAGUAGCUGAUGUAUGUACAAUCCUUUGCAGGAAUUCAUGAGGGCUUGGUAUUUUAAGUAUGGUGAAUAUGUAGUAUAAAUAAGUUGCUGAUGUCAACAGGAGGUUGCAAAGAGAUGCCUCUUAGUCAAGAAGUGCGAAACUUUUAUGUUGGUAAGGUCACCUGUUUCACAGAGUAUGUUAAUACUCUGCACUGGACUAAGUUUCUAUCUGUUGUUUGAAAGUUGUUUUUGCUUUUGAAUUAACACCUGUAAUGGCCGACGGGCUAAUGAUAUAAACCUCUUGCUCUUCAAUUAUCAGCAAAUAAAGUAGUUGCUUGAAGACUUGAAGUGACUAUUGUUUCUUAUGCAAUGUGUUUUGUCAUCAUGAAGGCAUUAGCGAUACAUGGUGUUUUGAAAAGAAAUGCUACCCUUGAAUAAUAUAUACAGCCUCAUUAGAUUAGAAGUUGCUGGUGAAUCAAAAGAAAAAAUAUAGCUAUCAACGACCACUAAAUUAGUGUAAAGGAGCUUGAUAUUGACAGUAGUUUUCCCCAUUUUUCUCAUCAUUGGAUAAACAAAGGAAUAGCCUUUCAUAAGCAGCUACCAUCUUGGUAGCAGUGAACAAUUGUAAGCCUCUUUGCCUUGCUGCCUGACCUUUCUGCUUUAGACCUCCUCUGCCAUCAUCCCAAACUCUAUAGAGGGUCUUCUUUAGUGAAGCUAUUGUCGGUGAAAAUGUAUAACCGACUUCUGUCCCAACAACCACAGAGCCUGUAAUGCUUGCAAGUCUUGUCGCCAUUACUGGCUUACCAGAGAGCAUUGCUUCCAACAAAGUAUGAUCCAAUCCCUGAGCACGAAGAGUUGGGUUCACGAAAAUAUCUAUUGCGUUGUAGAAGUCAGCUAGCUGAGCUUGUUCUAGUGGCCCUAAAACAAGAACAUUAGAUCCAAGAUCUCUGUACCUAGCUCCCCAAGGACCAUUGCCAGCAACUAGAAGGACAACACUAUGCCUGAAUGCAUCAUUUUCACUGAGCAUUUGCUUCAAAGCCUCGAACAUCAAUGGAUGUCCUUUAUCCUUCACCAACCUCCCAGCCAUUCCUAAAACCAACGUCUUAGAUUCAGGCACCCCAAACCUUUUCUUGAAAUCCUUCCCUUUGACAAUGUCUGGCUUGAAAAUCUCCUCAUCAACACCAUUAAGAAUAAUGUGUACGCGUUCAUCCGGGAUCAUGUAAAUCCUCUUCAGUACAUCUCCGACAUGGUCACUGGUAGCAACAUGGUGAGCAUAACUGGGGAAGAACCUCACCUCUUCGACAACCUUGGUAACUCUUUCAGCCAAUGCGUACCCCUGUGGUUCUUCAGGACUCCGAAUAAGUUCUUGUAUGAUGUCAGAAUGGAUAGUUUCAUAUGCAAUCCCAUGCCAAGUAACAGCCAGAUUCGUAUGAUUGCGUGAUCGAGUAUGCAUGAGACCAACACUUUCAGUGUGGAUCACAUCAAAAGGUCUUCCUGUUGAGUUUUGGGUUUGAAAUAGUUUCCAAACUAGAGCUUGGUCCAGGUAACCAGAAGCUGUUGGCUUUGAGAGGUGAAAGCGUAAAUUAUUGAAAGGGUACCUUGGAAAGGAGGAAUUUGGAGGAGAACUGGUGAAGAUGUGAAGUUCAUGACCUCUUUUGGCGAGUGCAAGGUGGAGAGUCAAAGCAUGGCGUUCUAGCCCUCCUGCUUGAGAUCUAUGAGGCCAUUUCUUGACGAAGAGAGCAAUUUUGAGGAGCUUUGGCGGCGGAUUUGAGGAAAAAGCAAGCUGAUUCCAGGCAGAAGGGAAAGAAAGAAGUUCAAUGAUCUGGCUUUGCUUCUGCUCCAUCUUUUGGUAUAGAGAAUAGCAGGGACCAUAGCGAUGACACCAGAAAAUGAAUGAGAUGAAGGACCAUGCACACAGCACUGAGACAAUGGAGCAAAGACGGCGGAAGCUGAAUCCAGCAACUGGAUCCUUAGCCAUUGAAGAAGGAGAUCUAAGAUAGAAAAUGGAGAGAACUCAACCUUAUUAAGGAGAGAUGUUUCAGAUGGCAUCUGAACAUGGGAUUUCUAGUAUAAGAUAAGCAGGUCUUGACAAUCUCAAUAAUUUGUUUAUGAAAACAAUCAAAUUUUGAUCUAGAAGCAACUUCGGUUGACUAAAUAAUUUAACUUGAUUGGAUCUAAACCCUAUGAGCAUUCCAUUUGAUAUUUCUAUUGGAAUCAUGCCUAAAUGUGCGCUCUUGAUUGCAGUUUUGCAACCCGAAACCACUAGAUUUAUCAGAUAACCAGAAUGACAUUACUGUGUUCUUAAGCUAUGCACCUAUAUCUCGAAAUUCCCAGGAUACAAAACUACAACAUUUAUAAAACAAGCAUGAACGUUUUUUUUCCAUUUCUGAUCAUUUCAGCGAUGAACCAAAGCUUAAUGGGAUCCAUGAACCAAUCACUACUUAAUUGAGAGGUUUGGAUAAGCUUCAUCGAUACCUUAACGAGUAAAGGCAUGAAGUACAAGAAAAACAUAGAUCACAAGAGCCAAAGGGACCAAAGUCACCAAAGGACCAAUUGCAGCAAAAGUAUACAAAUCCCCACAACUCAACCUCCCCAAUUUGAUCUGAACCAAGUCCACCAAGGCCAUCAUCAAGAAACCACAUCCUAAAACCGACCCGAAUGCCGAGACCAGCGUACCGACCCGCAAACCCACCUGGUUAACAUGUCCCAUGUUGGCAACAAGCAACUCAGAAUCCGAGCCACCAUUUCCAAUACUGCUACAACAACUUAUUUGGCUGAUCUUGAUGGCUUGCUUGAGAGCCAAGGCAAUGAGGCUGGAGAAGAGGAAGGAGCUGAAGGAGUAGACGUGGAAGGAGAUGAGUCCCUCCGCCGCAUCGGUACCGGCAGCACAAGCUUUGUUGGAGCCUAGUAGCAUGGAGUUGAGGUCGGUGGUAGGGUACCAAGUGAGGCCUAUGAAGAGGGCAAUUGAGAAAAGUGAGUUCACAUUGACUAUGCCGUCUAGGGCCAUUAUGUGAAUGCGGGUUGAGGGUGUUGUCCGGCGUGACACGUCGGACAUUUCAGGCUUUGGUGUGGUACGGUGGUGUUUGUGGUGGUGGAAGAGAUGAAAAAAUAGAGAGCAUUUUUGGUUGCAUUGGUUUUAUGAAAUAUAACUUUGGUUUUUGGUUUGAGGGAAGAUGACUAGAUGAGUAUGAAGCCUGAAACUGGAAUCAAGAGUAGCGUGUUUUCUCUGGGUAUCGUGGCGUUUCAGGCAAGGAAAGGGGUUUGCAGAAGCAACAUAUUACAAAUGUGAAAGUUUCACACACACACACACACACAAAAAAAAAAACAGAAAGAAAAAAAUUUGAAAACCAAAAACAAAAGCGCCGUUGCCGGGGAUCGAACCCGGGUCACCCGGGUGAAAGGCGGGAAUACUUCCCACAAUACUACAACGACUUCUUGCUAUUUAUUUAAUUCACUACUUUUUAUUAGAUUUUAAUGCCACACAUAACUCUGCAAAUGCAUUCGGGCUUAUCAUUUUAGAUUUGGUAUCAAUGACUCACUGUCUCACUCCCAUUGUUGAUUAGUAUGCUAAUAAGAGUUCUGUAUAAGUUUGUUUCCUCUCAAUAACUGAAUUCUUGUGCAUAUAUAGAAUAUGAAUCUCAGUAUGGUUUUACUGCAUGUAAAUUUUUCUAGUCAUUGUACUGUUGGGGUUUUAAGUUCCUGUAACAUAUAUAUUUUCUUGCCGAAGUACUAAAGGCUUACUUAUCCCUGAAUCCAAUGCUCAAGUCACUAGAAUGAAGAAAAAGAAAAAUGAAGCUGAUAUAUAUGAAUUAAUUGUUUCCACUGAAUCACUGAUACAUAACAAACUACACACACAAAUAAGCAUGCACCCAUAGAAUUUGAAUCAUUUAUUUUUCUUUUCAUUUUUUGGGACAGACACAACUUAUUUAUUUGAUAGCACAAUUUUUUUUGCAGGCCGGGUCUCACAAAUUUCAACUAAACACCUUAAACUUUCUGAUCCUUGACAAUUGUAACAGGACAAUUUGCAUUCGCCAUAACGUGGCUUGAUACACUGCCCAGAAGCACCCUGAAUUCAACAAAGGAUUAUAAAUCCCAGAUUAGUGUUUAUCAUUUUGGUUAUAUAGAAUAAUAUAUAAGAGAUAGGUUGUACCUUUGGAGGGUGCCCAGGCCUCUGCUCCCAAGGACCAAGCAGUCGAGCUUUAAGUCUUCCACUGCUUCACAAAGCUUGUCUCUUGCAUCUCCCCAGUAGAUCUUUGCUAUCACCGUCACCUAUAUUCAUUUCACACACAUUCAAUUCCCAAAUACCCCUUUAAGACAAUGUUGUUUACAAUCCUUGUAAGGGUUUUACAAUAAAGGGUAUACAAUAUGUGAUGAUAUUUUAAAUACUUUGCUACCGCAUACAUCACAUAUAAAGGGUUUACAAUGAUUGUGCUAAGUUUGUGGGAAAAUUUUACAAUGUGUUAAUGAUGUUGUCAAAAUGUCAUAAAAGAGCUAGGAUGACUUAUUAUUGCGAAUCAAAUUAUCAAUCAGACAAUUUAACGUCUCGGAUAUCUAGUUCACAAAUUAGCAUAAAAAAAAGAAAAAGAAGAACAUAUAAAUAUGGAAAUACAUACAUGUUUUUGCUUAAUAGCAGUAUCAAGCAACUCCAAGACCUCCUGAUCAAGCUCAACCUCGUAGUUCUCCAUAACGUCCUUUUGACGGAACUCCGCAAAAGGAAUCAGAGCUGCAGAAAAAUCCAGAAUCCAGAAGUCAUAAAAAAAACCAGAACAAUCCUGCAGAAACAUACAUAUAUAUUUUGAACUAAUUAAUAACAAGGAAACGUACGUGAUCCGGUGGUAGACCAAAGAAGGCUGCGGCUCUCACUGCCUUCUUGAGGCUUGACAUGGAUGACAUACAAGGUGUCACUUUUGUCACUCAGAUUAUGAAGAGCCCAUUUCAGAGCAGUCUUGCUUCCCUUCGAGAAAUCCACCGCAAACCCUAAGUUUCUGUCCUUCGUCAUCGAUCAAAUCCGAGAGUGGCCGGCACUAAGUCUCCUUGAAGAUGGAGUUGAGUUCGAAGCAGAUAGCUAAGCUUUGAGAAUCAAUUAAAGGAGAAGCUAAGAUAGCUAUGAUCGAGAUGUGGAUCUGUGCGUUGAAAUUCUGCUGAGAGCUAGCUUUGUUUAAGGGGAAUCAAUUUGCUCUGCCUAACCUAAGUCACAUCUCACAUGGAUUCCAUUAAUAUACCAGCUGCUUGUUCUUACUGGCUGAACGAUCUGCUACUUGGUAUUUUUUAAGUAGAGAAAUCUGAAAAAGCUGCUAUUCUGGGGGCAAGUGGUUCCAACUUGAACAUAAUCUCUUGGAUUAGUUGCACCUUAAUUAAUGAGCUUAAUAUAGGGACAUCCCAGCAACCAGUCAACUAGAGUUGUAGAAUCAUGCAUAUACAGCUGGGAGUGGUGAAGUCGUAGAGAAGAAGAGUAAGAUGAAUCUUAUGCAACAAAAGAGAUGAUCGAUCAGAUGAACGAUACGAUAAUUAAAAGUGCUAGCAUAAGUAUGAAGCUAAUUAAGGCAUUAGGCAUACACUACCAUUUUUCUUUGCUGGUCUGAAUGAUCCACUUCCGUUAGUUGAUCUUCAGCUGCUACAACGUACACCAGAUUACCUUAUUAUAGUUGAUUUACUGUUAAUAUUAGGAGUCAAGUUUGAAAUUCGAAACAAAUGAAAAACCCUGGGAGCAGUAGCCUCCAAUAUCCUACAAUCUAACUUCGGAUGCUCAUCUGAUCCCAUGGCAUCUAUUGAUGCAAUAAUCGCAAGUGAUCUGCUGCUUCCCUUGCCCUAGCUGUCUGAGGGUGGUGGUGUCACAUCCCGACCCUUAUAUUUUUACCUUAUUUACUAGCGUGAUUAUAAUAAGAAUUUUACCGUCUCGAUCAUUGAGUAAAUAGUUUAAUUGGUCCCUAGAGGGGUUUCGGGGACGAUUAUGUGCGGAGGAUUAUUCGUAUGAGGAAAAUACAACGACGGUAAAAAUAGUAAAUUUUAGCUAGAAAAAGGUAAUUUUUAUUCGGGUAUUAUUUUUCGGGGUGUUUUUAUUUUGGAAGUUUGGGUUAUAAAUGGUGUGGACCGGUUUGGGGUGUGAGGCCCAAACCCUUUUCUUUUCUCUCUCCCUCCCUCCCGAUUUUUCUUCUCCUCCCACCCGAUUUUCUUCUCUCUACACCCACCGGUAUUCCGGCCGUCCUCCCGCCGCCGUCCGACCUCCGUUCGCCACCGGACCGGUCCCGUUCGGUCGGUCUCCCUCCCAGCAACAUUUCUAGACCGGUGAGAGGAGCCCUAGCGCCGCCGUGAAGGAGCGGUGCCACCCGUAAGGUCCGACUGUCCAAACCUUCACUUCGCUGGAACUUCCUCCUCCGGCCACCAAUCCGGGCAAGCUUGGUAUGGUUUUGUAGCCCUCCAACCCAGCAACCUUGCCCUAAAAGGACUCACUCCCUCUUGAGCUAGGUAAGGAGAAAUUUGAGGUGGAAGUUUUAUGGUGUUUUUGAUGUUUUUAGUCGAUAGCCCUAGUUAGGCUUGGAAUUGGUGUUUGUGCUAGUUAUGAAAGUUGUAGAGCUUGAUGAGAGGAAGAUGCUGUUAAAAUUUCAUAGGUUUUGGAGGUCGCCCGAAUUGACCUCCGGCCGCCGCUGCCGGCGGAGNNNNNNNNNNNNNNNNNNNNNNNNNNNNNNNNNNNNNNNNNNNNNNNNNNNNNNNNNNNNNNNNNNNNNNNNNNNNNNNNNNNNNNNNNNNNNNNNNNNNNNNNNNNNNNNNNNNNNNNNNNNNNNNNNNNNNNNNNNNNNNNNNNNNNNNNNNNNNNNNNNNNNNNNNNNNNNNNNNNNNNNNNNNNNNNNNNNNNNNNNNNNNNNNNNNNNNNNNNNNNNNNNNNNNNNNNNNNNNNNNNNNNNNNNNNNNNNNNNNNNNNNNNNNNNNNNNNNNNNNNNNNNNNNNNNNNNNNNNNNNNNNNNNNNNNNNNNNNNNNNNNNNNNNNNNNNNNNNNNNNNNNNNNNNNNNNNNNNNNNNNNNNNNNNNNNNNNNNNNNNNNNNNNNNNNNNNNNNNNNNNNNNNNNNNNNNNNNNNNNNNNNNNNNNNNNNNNNNNNNNNNNNNNNNNNNNNNNNNNNNNNNNNNNNNNNNNNNNNNNNNNNNNNNNNNNNNNNNNNNNNNNNNNNNNNNNNNNNNNNNNNNNNNNNNNNNNNNNNNNNNNNNNNNNNNNNNNNNNNNNNNNNNNNNNNNNNNNNNNNNNNNNNNNNNNNNNNNNNNNNNNNNNNNNNNNNNNNNNNNNNNNNNNNNNNNNNNNNNNNNNNNNNNNNNNNNNNNNNNNNNNNNNNNNNNNNNNNNNNNNNNNNNNNNNNNNNNNNNNNNNNNNNNNNNNNNNNNNNNNNNNNNNNNNNNNNNNNNNNNNNNNNNNNNNNNNNNNNNNNNNNNNNNNNNNNNNNNNNNNNNNNNNNNNNNNNNNNNNNNNNNNNNNNNNNNNNNNNNNNNNNNNNNNNNNNNNNNNNNNNNNNNNNNNNNNNNNNNNNNNNNNNNNNNNNNNNNNNNNNNNNNNNNNNNNNNNNNNNNNNNNNNNNNNNNNNNNNNNNNNNNNNNNNNNNNNNNNNNNNNNNNNNNNNNNNNNNNNNNNNNNNNNNNNNNNNNNNNNNNNNNNNNNNNNNNNNNNNNNNNNNNNNNNNNNNNNNNNNNNNNNNNNNNNNNNNNNNNNNNNNNNNNNNNNNNNNNNNNNNNNNNNNNNNNNNNNNNNNNNNNNNNNNNNNNNNNNNNNNNNNNNNNNNNNNNNNNNNNNNNNNNNNNNNNNNNNNNNNNNNNNNNNNNNNNNNNNNNNNNNNNNNNNNNNNNNNNNNNNNNNNNNNNNNNNNNNNNNNNNNNNNNNNNNNNNNNNNNNNNNNNNNNNNNNNNNNNNNNNNNNNNNNNNNNNNNNNNNNNNNNNNNNNNNNNNNNNNNNNNNNNNNNNNNNNNNNNNNNNNNNNNNNNNNNNNNNNNNNNNNNNNNNNNNNNNNNNNNNNNNNNNNNNNNNNNNNNNNNNNNNNNNNNNNNNNNNNNNNNNNNNNNNNNNNNNNNNNNNNNNNNNNNNNNNNNNNNNNNNNNNNNNNNNNGUUUUCAUCAGUAGGUUACCUGUUCAACCUACUUGUGUUUUCUUGCUUCCGCUUGUGUUUAGUAGCUCUGAAUACUUUAGAAUGUUUGUAUUUUAUGCGAUGUUCAGAAGUGAUAAAUUAAGAGUGUAAUUUGAAAUUUUCGAGUUAGGGUUGUCCAUCUGCAAGGGAGAUUUUCUUAAUCUUUUCAGUAAAUUUUCCUUGGAGGUGGUCCCCGCACGACUUACUCUGGGUUUCAGGGUGAAAUUCGGGGUGGGACGUGUCAGGCGGUGCUCCUAAUCUCAUAAAGAUCGGCCUAGGCCAAUGUUCGCCAAUAUUCUCAAUAAUGUAUUCUUCUAGCGAAACCUUUGUCACGCCACACUGUUCAUCCUGCUGCAUUCCAGUCCAACUUUUUGCGUAGUGGUUGACUAGGGCUUAAGAGUUCAAUCACGGCCAAUGAACUUUUAUCCUAUAGUUCCCUAUUAGAAGAAUAUAAUUACUUGCUGCUGCUAUUGGUGGAGAGAUUGGCAGAUUGCUAGCUUUAAAUCCAAGCUUAAUUAGAACUCAGAUCUUAGCCUGAUGAGCAUUAGAUUCAUGAGUUUUAUUGCUUGAUUCUUAGUUCAUUAGCUGUACAUUAAUUAAGGUUUUAGGUACGUAGCUAGUUGAAUGGUUCAGGGAAUUAGUUGUGCACUUGUGCAUCAUCCACAGUUACAUGUAAAUUAGCAACAUGCUUGACAUAUAUGAUUUCCUUAAGGGUUGAGUUAUUUUGUAAUACUGCAUUCAAGAAUGAGAACAUGCAUGAUUUCCUUGGUGUAACUAACCAAUCAUGUGAACUAUGACAUUUUAAGUGUGCAAACUACAUUGCGGAUUAAGUUCGAAUAAUCAACUACUGGUGGUACGUGAUCAAUAAGAAAUCCUCACGUCUCCUCAAUUUCACCAAGCAAAAGAAUAAUUGAGGUACGUAGUGUUUUAGCACAUCAAGAUUGACUUCAUAUAUAGGAAACGCAAGCAAUGUUCCUACUAUAUCCAAAGCAAAAACCUUAAUGAGCAACACAGGUCAAGUCAAGCAGCUCAACCCUAAACUAUAUAUAUUUGUUUCUUCUUGUAUCUGAUACUUACUCCUAACCCCCUUCCUAUCCAUAAUAAGUUGAACUACUGGCCGAAGUUCCUAACCAUAACCUGCUGAAAUUGUUGGCCAAUUGCCAUAUAAAUACACAAGAAUCCAUUUACCAGUUCCACCAGUGUAGAUUUAUAUUAGUCCAAUUACCUUCAAGUUCCUUCAGUUUCAGUACUCAUUUCCUGAUUAUUUAUUCUCCUGCAAUUUUGUUGAACCGUACUUGUCGUGUGCAUGGCAAGGAACCAAAAUAAGAUUGACAAUAGAAAGAAAGAACGUUGUGCGGCCCGAAUAUAGUCAACAGUACUUAACCCCAUCAACUCUCAACCGUACCGUACCGGUGGAAAUGCUACACCCACCCCAACCAUUUGUAACAACGUUAUUAACUUAAACAAUUAAAACAAAAUAACUCUCAUCCAUUUCAAUCUCCUAAUAAUUACCUAUCAUAAGAGCAAUUUUUUUUCCAAGUUGGUGUCAAAACCAAUAACCUAGCUAAAUGUUGUCUUAAAUUUAUCAGGUUUCGGAUAAUGUUAGUCGACAAUACAUGCAUGCGCCGAUGCGCGCAUAAAAUUACCUAUUGAUUUUAAAAUUAUUACUAAAUCACAUGCAUAUAUGAAAACGGUGAUGUAUUCAAGAUUUUGUUGAAAAUAUAAUUCUAGCAUAUAUCAAGCUACUACUUCACCGCCUCAUGAGCAUGUACAAUGCAUACAGCCUCCCUAGGCAGUACCAAGCAAUAUUGGUAGUGGGGAUUUCAUAGUCAUGUAAUAUCUCUCUCUCUCUCUCUCUCUCUCUCUCUCUCUCUCUCUCUCUCUCUCUCUCUCUAGCCAACUCCAUUAGGGGAAACAUUCACGGCGUCUCAUAGUAGUUGGUACUUGUCGAGUUGUUGAUCGAUCAUUACGGUAUUGCAAAUACAUACAACUAUUUUACUCAUUUGAGACUUUGUAAGCAAUUGCAGUUUCCAGAUUACUGCAUGCAGAUGGAGAUGCAUGGAAGAGAAAUGAGUUUCAAUGUUUCAUCAUAUCAUUUCUCACAUCAUGUAGCAACUUGUAUAUAUAUAACAUAAUUGUUGAUGCGACGGGAAAGGUCUAAAUACAUUUAAGUAGGCAAAAUGUGACUUUUGAAUGUUUAAAUGUUAGGCUUAUGUAAAGAUGGAGAACUCUUAAUAGUAAUUUCGAUAAUUUUUUAAAGGAUUUCGAUAUAUUUUAUUAAAUUAGAAAAGAAUCGACACUCAUGAAUUAGCAUGAUUUUAACUUAUUUUUUCUACUCUUCUAUCACUAUUAGGACCAAUUUAGAGUGUUGUUAGAAAAAACAAUUUAUUUCUUAGGCAUUAAGUUAUACGGGUCAUAUACGUACAUUUAUUAUAUAUUAUACAUUUCAUUAUUUCAUAUUGCCAUUCCGGCAGGGUGGUGCAGCAGUGAUGAUAUACACUUGACAGUGAGUUGGGCCUCUACCCAUUCAUUGGAUCUUGCUGGCUUUUAAUUUAUAUAUUUUUUAAUAUAUUUUUAAUUUCUACAUCCUGGGACUCCCUAGUCUCAAAUAAUUAAUCUCGCCAAUUCUAAUGCGGCAAAUAAAAAGAGGAGUUGGGAAGUUUUUUGUUCUUCUUCAAUUGGUAGCUCUUUCCUUUGAGCUCGCUUUUGGCGUAAUGGGGUCUUACGUCGUUCGUAUGCAAGCUCUUCUAUUUGGCCAGGGGUGAAACGUUUUUGGGCUCAAGUUCAAGAAAACUCAAGGUGGCUCAUUGGUUGUGGGAGAUCAGUACAUUUCUGGAGAGAUAAUUUCUUGGGUAGGCCACUUCUCAAAUUUUUUGGGAAUGAUAAUGCAGGUUUGGCUGCUCUCAUGGAUGGGUUGGUAGCUUAUUACAUUCUUAAUGGUGCUUGAAAUUUUCCCUCAUUGCUUCAACUGCAUUUUCCAGGCCUCUGUGAUUUAAUUAGUGGUGUUCCUAUUGCUUUAUCCCCAAAUAUGCCUGAUAAAUUGAUAUGAGUUCCAUCUGCAUCUGGUGAGCUAACUGCAAAGGAUGCUUUUCACUUUCUACGUCUGCGACUUCCUCAGACAAAUUGGGGUAAGCUUAUAUGGUCUAAAUAUAUUAUUCCUCGUAUCUCUAUUCAUUCAUGGAAAGUGUUACGAGGUAAGGUAUUGUCAGAAGAUGUGUUGCAACGACGGAGAUUUUCCUUGGCAUCUCGUUGUGUCCUUUGUGGCUUGGAGGGUGAAUCAUUGCUUCAUAUUUUUUCUCAUGCUCUUAUGCUUAUUCCUUGUGGGGAUGUUGGGUAUCUUGGUUUGAGUUGGGUGUUAUGCCAUCGACUAUUAUGGAUUUGUUAUUCUAUGGUUUGAAUGGUCGUAGCCAACAACUUAGAGAAUUGUGGCUGCUUUGUUUUACUGCUACCCUAUGGUUUAUUUGGAAGGCAAGGAACAUAAUGAAGCAUGAUGGUCGUUUCAUUGGUGUGGAUGCUUUACGUAGGCUUAUUUUGGGGUACAUACAAGCUGCUAGUAGAUUAGCUACAGGUUGUAUGUUCAACUCUUUGGAGGAGUUACGAGUCUUGAAAAAUUAUAAUAUUUCAUGUUGUCCACAUAGAACUCCUUUUAUUAUUGAGGUUAAUUGGCAUCCUCCAAUCCUUGGGUGGGUGAAAAUUAAUACUAAUGGUGCGUGGCAACGUGCAUCAGGACAAGCCGGAUAUGGUGGUAUUUUUCGUGACUUCCGUGGUAUUUUUCGUGGAGGCUGAGGUCAUGGCAGCAAUCCAAGCUAUUGAGUUAGCUAGCUUGGGUUAGAGAAUGGAAACAUAUAUGGCUUGAGGUGGACUCGACUCUUGUCCUUCAUUAUCUUCGGGAUCCUCAUCUUGUUCCUUGGCGGUUACGGGUGGCCUGGAGUAAUUGCUUGUACCAUAUAUCACAUAUGCACUUUCGGUCCUCUCAUAUAUUCAGAGAACUUAAUCAAGUGGCGGAUGCACUUGCUAAUAUUGGGUUGUCAUUGACUAGCAUGUCAUGGUGGGAUGAUCCUCCUCCUUCCAUCGUUGAUCAUUGUCGGCGAGAUGCACUUGGUCUCCCGAAUUUUCGUAUUUGUUAAUAUCUUUGUCAUGUGUUCAUUGAUGUUUUUUAGGUGAUUACUUAUUUCUCUACCAAAAAGGUUAUUUGUACUUUAUGGCUGAGAUUGGUCUAGUCCUCCAGCUUCUUGUUCCUUUUUUUUUAUCAGCCUCCCUAGGCAGUACCAAGCAAUAUUGGUAGUGGGGAUUUCAUAGUCAUGUAAUCUCUCUCUCUCUCUCUCUCUCUCUCUCUCUAGCCAACUCCAUUAGGGGAAACAUUCACGGCGUCUCAUAGUUGAGUUCUUGUUCUAAUUUCGCUAGAUAGGUAGUCGAAUCAUUAAGCGUCACAUUCACUAGUGAUGUAACAUUCUUCGUUGUGUAUUCUUGCUUGUCUUUGCUACUGUUCUACUAAUGUUCUAUCUUAAGCUGCUGCCUCUACUAACCUGUUGGUAAGCUUGUGUUGUGAAGAUUUUGCAUAUGCUUUUGUGUGCACAUUACGUCGCUGUUAAUUUCUUUUAGAUCACUAAUAUGAGAUAUAAACUUUGAUUAAUGAUGAGUGUGAGAACACGGUGACAAUUGCCACAAGAAGAUCGUUGUCGGUGCCUCAAAAUCGAUCUCAUUUCUCAAAUCAAAGAAGGAUUAAAUCUUCUCAGAAUCAGUCAUGUUCUUGGUACUUUUUCUUUCAACAUUGACAUUCCUAGUUCAGUAGCAGCAGAGGUGAUGGCAGUUAUAAUUGCUAUUGAGCUUGCUUGGGUACGAGACUGGAAGCACAUUUGGUUAGAGGUUGACUUGUCGCUUGUGUUAGACUAUCUACAGUCUCCUUUGCUUGUACCUUGACAUCUACGUGUCCAUUAGCUUAAUUGUUUACGUUGCAUAUCGGAGAUGAUCUUUCGAUCUUCUCAUAAUUUUUGUGAAGGGAAUAAGGUUGCAGAUGCUCUGGCUAAUUACUGUACGUCAUUAACACAGCUGGUUUGGUGGGAUUCACCUCCCUUUAUUUUGUCAUAUUGUAGUAUUGACCUUAAUUAUGGGUCUUCCACAAUUUCGGUUUUCUUAGUUUUGUUUUAUUGUUAUUUUGUUAUGAGAGUUUUUGGUCUAAUCCCUCUCUCUUGAUGUUUCUCUUUUCUUUUUUAACUCAUAAGAGUGUUAGAGGGUCAUUCCUCUCUCACUCAUCUUUCAGACCAAAAAAAAAAAUCUUCAUUAGUCAAUAAUAAUGAUUCAAAAAUCAUGUCUUAUGUUUGGUGUUCAAAUCACUAAUCGAUCAUACAAGUGAUGCGUUUAUUCUUUUCGAUCUAGGUCUAGCUAGCUAUACGAAUUUUAAAUCCAUAUUGUUUGUGUUAUGGUAUCAAUUGUGCUCGUACACUAAACCAUUGAAUCGAGAAUCCUCUGCGUAUUGGAAUCUUUUUUUCUUAAUAUUAAUAAAUCCAUUAUUUCCUUGAUCGUGAUCUUUGAGCAAAACAAAUUCUAAAUAUAUAUGAAUCAUGGAGUAUUGGAGCAACGGUGGUUUAGGUGCACCGCGAUUUCUUUUGCUACAAAUGGAAGGAAGAGUUAGCUAGGGCUGGCCAGCUGGACAAAACGGUCCAACUACCAGAGCCCAACACUUCUGGACAGAAAGCACCAAACAACGACUCCAGCUACUAUGUGACACCGGAACCCACCAGGGCCCACACCCUUCCUCCCCCUUUCCCUUCCCUCUCUUUAAAACCUCGCGUGGCUCUUUCCAGACCCCAUUUCCAGCUGUGUAUAUAUACAAAGCUUUGCUGGUAGCACUGAGAUCAUUAUUAGCUCAUGAUAGUUCAUCCUCACCACUACUACUACUUCUACCGCUCAUUCACAUCUUUCUCUCUUCCCAAACCCACCUGAUCUUCUGUAGGAUCUGUUUUAGGUUCCAGAAGCAGCAGCAGCAGCUAGCAGUAGUAGUACAGUAGUACUCUGCGGUUAGGGUUUUAGUUAUGAUGGAUGUACUGUUCGAUCAUCAUCAUUUUCUCAGCGAGCGGGAAACUCCGUCGUCGGAGAUGAAGGUUUCCGUCGGCUCCGAUUACAAGCAGGGUUGGAGUUUUCCUGAAGGUGAGGGAAAAGGGUUUGUUGGGUCGAGGACUACUGAAGCUGAGCUUGUUUCGUCGUCAGAGUCGACUGAGGAGGACGACGAUUACAUUGCUGAGUUGACUCGCCAGAUGACUCACUACAUGCUUCAGGACGACGACAAACACGCUCUCAAAACCAGUAUUACUAGCUCCGAGAAAAACGAAGAGGUGAGCUUUGAGAUAAUGAUAUGUUCCAGAGUUGAAGUUGGAUUAGAACUUCCGGUAGAUAAGGUCGUUCUAAAUAUUAAUCUUCAUUCUUCAAUCAUAUUAAUGUUGUUGCAGUCGUGGGGUUGUGUCGGUUGGCAGAGUAACUCGAUGACGAUGUGGUCGCCGUUGGGAUCGAGCAAUGGAAGCCCAGAAGGUCCAUCUGAGGAGCCAUCGCCGCCGGUGACGCCAGGCAAAGACAAAGCUUCGGAGCAUAAAAUUCCUCCGUCGUACGCCGCCGUUUUGUGCAAGUUGGACAAGUUAGAAACCAACAAACAGGGAAGACCAAGUGGAACUACCCAAGUAGCUGAAGCUGAAAAUCCAAAGCAAGGUGUAGCUUUUGAUCAAAGCCAAGACUCUAAGGUAGGAAUAAGUUUGAUUGUUAAUUAGUUAUGGUAAUUUGUUUUACUAUUCAUACACCAAACAUUCUACUUGCCUAAUUUGGUGUCAAUUAUCUUGUAGAUUAAUUUGAAGCUAACGCAAGGGCGAAGUACUAAGAAGCAAAGCUCAGUAAAUAAUGGUAGACAACCCAAGCAUAUUACUCAUCAGACAUUUGAGUCCUACAACCUAAACCAUAAGAAAGUAGGAUGUGAUGCUAAUGGCGGAUUAAGGACUUCUCCACCUAUUUCCACUUUGUCCUCAACCCCGUGGCUGAACAACCAGCAAGGCCCCUCAAAUAUGAGGGCGGUCUUCCUAGGUGGGUCGGGCGGCGCCGGUGCUAGAGUUGGGACGCCGUCUUGUGGGACUGGUGUCUUCUUACCCUGUGUUAUUGGUAACACAUCUCAGUCACCCAAGAAUAAAAGAGGUACUGAUUCAAAGCCUUUGUCAAUUUUUUGGGGUUGGUUUUAGAUUUUCCGGUGGCUUUUAGCCGAAUGUAAGUUUAAUUUGGAGGGGUUUCUUGGUCGUUGUAGUGGUUGGGGUUUGAAGUGAAAUAUCACCUAUCCAAUAUGUGAUGAUAUUUGGAUUGGUCGUAUGUGUGAUGUGUUUUGCAUCUUUUGGUGUUUGACUGUGGAUCUAGAUUAGGUUCCAUAUUAUUGAGGGAUUCCAUUAUUGAGAUUCCUUGUGAUCCCGAAUAUAUACUGGCCAAUCUUGUUGUUAGCUUGUGACUCGUGUAAAAUGGAAUCUUCCCAAACCUCUCCUAUGGUCCCCUUGGCUUGGGGUUUAGCUCCUUGAGGAAAUUGAUUUUUUUUGAAAUCGAGGAAAUUGAUUUUGUUAAUGGGAAUUUUUAAAUAAAUUCCUCAUUUCUUUUGUCAACGUCCCUAAUAUUCUUCCUCUAGUAUAGAUUUUCAUGAAAUGUUCAAUAAUUUGUUAUUAUUCUAGUUCAACCACUUUCCAUAGUGGUUUGUUAGUUGUAAGCUUAGUCACAUUAAAAGAAAGUAUAGUAAAAGACUUGCAAUGCAAGGGCGAGAUUAAAAUUGUUUGGAAGAUGAAUGUUGUGGUUUUAGGUUGCCUAAAAUUGUUUUUCUUGUUCAUUUCGGGUUGCUUUUUGCCAAUCUGUUAAUUUCAAGGAAUUCUUAUUAACACUAUGAAAAAGUAUUUGGUACAGUGUUUACAUUAGCUUUAUAGUGGCGACGAAAAUACGUAUUGUAUCGUCAUAUGUAUGAUUGAACACAUAGAUUCUGAUUAAGUAUAGACGGUUUAAAUAAACACUCUUUGUAAAUAUCAUUACCACAUAUCGAUCGCGUGCCGUGAAUGAUAUGUUAUAGGUUUUUUUAAAGUUAUACUAGGUCUAGGUGUAAGUGGGUCGUUUUCAUGCUUGUGUAACCCUAGUAGCUAUCAAAUUUAGAAUUGUCCUUAGUUUACCUCUUUGGUACAUUGAAAAGAUCCUUUCUCAAAGCUCCUAAGACGUUGGCUUUCUCUUAUCGAUUGCAGGAUGUGCCCCUGUUCUAAUACCCGCAAAGGUAGUACAAGCCCUGAAGGUUCAUUUUGACCGAGUCGGUGACCUACCUCGACAAAACCCUACUGCCUUCCCCAUACAAAACGGUACAAAUUACCUUGUAGAUCUAACUAGAUCUGUACUUCAUAUAUGCCAAAGUGUUCCCCAUUCUCUGACGUCUCUCCUAACUCUUGCUUUGUUCUUUUGUGUUUAACACUAUCAGAUUCCUCAAAGAGUGGAAGGAGGACAAGCACGUCUGCAAAUAGAAAGCGCCACUCGAGAGGAGCGGCACCACCGCCGGACAUGAACAACAAUGAGAUGGGUCUACCUCAAGAAUGGACGUAUUGACUUAGCCAAAGCUAAAGCACAUGCCUGUGCUUAUUAUUUCAUCACCCGCCUACAAUGUUGCUAAUCUCUCGUUUUCACUUAUGGUGGUGUCACUGUGAUGCUUUGGCUGUGUUUGUUUCGUAGCAAAUACGGAAAGGGGUUAAGAUUGAAUAAACUCAAUAAAGAGAAAGAUGAUGACAGACACAAUAGUCGGUCAAUUAGAUAUGUAGGGGAAUCCAUUAGAUCAUAGAUUACGACAAACAAAUAGAGAUUCACGAGAAUAUUAUCUUCUAUCUUCUUCUUCUUCUUCUUCUUUUUCCUCUCUUUUAUGAUCUUCCAGAAAUUAAACAAUAAGUUUGAAUUUGUCUGCUGCAGCAGGCUGGGAUUGAAUAGCUUAACAAAUGCUGCUGUAAAGCAUGUGGAGAAGUAAUGCUUACAAAAUAAGUCCAUAUGAUCGACAACAAUCACAACACCAACAACAACAACAUACUAUACACCAACUCCCAACCACCGGAACUGAUCGCGCAGAGCCGCAAUGCUGCAACACCGAUAGCCUUGCAAAACUUUCGGAGGUCCAAACACACUACUAUACAUCGUGACAUGCUAAUCAUAUCUACAAAGGCGGGCCUAACCCAAGCAACAACAACUAAGAAAGCUCCCGUGUCAUACCUAGCCUCCUCAGACAGAUUUGUGCUGCGGGAGCCGUCUUGUAACCAAGUCCUACUAGAUGUUAUGCCCUAUCUAAAGAAGCAAACGCAAUACCAACACUACCAAAAACAAAUCCGAUCAACAAAUGCCGAAUACAAUCAUAAUAUAACCGGACCUAACAGAAAAAAAAAAAAAAGUAAAGAAGAAGAAGAAGAAGAAGAAGAUAGAACAGUCAUUUAGAUAACUAAAUCACACGGCGUAUUCAAAUAAAAUCACCGUGUCAACGAAAAUUCGAUUGCAUGACUGUUAGUGUUGUCUCGUAAUGUUCUUUGAUCCGAACCCUAAAUAUUAGCACAUCACCCGUCGUUAGAAACACAGAAAAGUAUAAUGCACACGCAGUACAAUAGUUUGCAUAUUCCCUAGUGUCAUUUAAUAUGAUAGAGAUAUGACGUGCUAAUCGGAGCUCCAAUCAUCUUCAAUAAUUCAUACAGGGCAACGGAGAGCUUAAUUUCCUGGGUACUAUACUUGGUUGAUCAUCUUUUCGAUUGUGAUGGUACUUGUCGAGUUGUUGAUCGAUCAUUACGGUAUUGCAAAUACAUACAACUAUUUUACUCAUUUGAGACUUUGUAAGCAAUUGCAGUUUCCAGAUUACUGCAUGCAGAUGGAGAUGCAUGGAAGAGAAAUGAGUUUCAAUGUUUCAUCAUAUCAUUUCUCACAUCAUGUAGCAACUUGUAUAUAUAUAACAUAAUUGUUGAUGCGACGGGAAAGGUCUAAAUACAUUUAAGUAGGCAAAAUGUGACUUUUGAAUGUUUAAAUGUUAGGCUUCACUACCAGGACAAGCACUUUAGCCGACGAAAAUUUUUCGUCGGCCUGUCAGCUUAAUUCGUCGGCUAAGAUUUCGUCGGGAAAAGCUCGUCUGUGGUGACUUUAGCCGACGACACACGUAUAAGUCGUCGGCUAUAGUCCAUACUUUAGCCGACGAAAUAAUGUCGUCGGCUAUAGUCCGGACUUUAGCCGACGAAAUAAUGUCGUCGGCUAUAGUCNNNNN